UUUUAGUUCAAUUUUUUUAAAAAAUCAAUGUAACAUAGAGGUAUCUCUAUUGUCAUUGUUGAACUCUUUCAAAGGUAUAUACUGUUCAUAUGAAACGAAGAGCCAAUAUUGUUGGUAAUAUUCACUACCAAACCGUCCAUACGAGAUGCCUUUUUUAUGCUCCGCAUAAAAGGUAACCAUAGUUACAUCUUACAACAUGUAGAUAGGAGAUGACGCUCUUAUUGUCUUUUGCGCAGGGCCAAAAUUAUAAUUGACUAAGCGAAGGGCCUCUGGUUGUAGCAGUCAAGGUUGUCGCCGUAGCCAACGCCGAGGAUGUCGCAGUAGCGCUUGUAGAACCCGAUCCGGUCGGCGACACGGCUGUCCUGCCCGUGCCCGCACUCGAUCCCACCAUUAAUGAUGUUGGUGAUCACACCAAACCCGGGCACCCGCCCUGCGGCCCGAUCUGCCCCUGACGGUCUCCACUGGCCUGUGAUCACAGCAUGGCUCGACGGCUUUGGCGCCUGCGCCGUCAUCCAGAACCACAUCGCCGUCUUAAACGACACGGUGGGGUCGGUGGCCACCAGGUCUGGGUUGCUCAGUAGAUCGACCCCGAUGGCCCGGCCGGCAGGCCCGUAGUUGUAGUUGUGCGAGAGCUGGAUGGGCCCGCGGCCGUAAUAGCGCUUCCCGGGGACGCACGGCCACUGCGCGCUCGGGGUGCAAUAGUCGGCGACGGCUCCACGUUCCUGCUUGAAGCAGUAGCCCCAGGCGAAGGCCCCGUCCGGUGCGGUCGCCCACCCGCCGGUGGUCUCGUGGGAGGUCUGUGCCAGGAAGGCAGCCACCUCGCGCUUCUGGGCGUCGGCGCUGCCGGUGGCGCCGAAGCCCGGGAAGGCGGAAGCGGCGGCAACGAAGGCGUCGUAGGUGUAGAAACCCUUGGCCUGGCAGGCGGCGUCGUUGCGGUGCAGCAGCAUGCGAUCAAAUUGUGCGCGGGAGACGACGGAGGACACGCUGCCGCGCGCGGUGCCGAUGGCCAUGGCCACCGUGGCCACCACCACGGCCACCACCGCAAGCGAUCCCAUUGUGCGUGGCAACAAAGCAGAGUAUUCGACCGCUCUCUUGUGCAGGUGUAGUGGUGUGUGUCUGUGUGUGGGAGAAGCGGCCGGGAGUGCACGUCUCUAUAUAGGUGUCGCGCUCACUCGAUCGCCAUGAUCGACCUGUAGGUGUCUAUCCAUCUACCUUCUUGACCGUGAGCUUCCUUCCAGAGCGACAUCGUCAUGCGAUCGACGGAUCAAUCUCGGCUUAGAUACGGUCGAGAGGUACAGCGGUGAGCAGCUGGCCAUGUAUGAUCGAGAGCGUGUGCUAGUAUGCACGCGUGUGGACUUUUGGUCCGUAGAUGACGCAGGGCAUUCAUGGAUAUUUUCAAAGUUUAUCAUUUAUCCGUUAAAACAGAUGGACAGAGAACGGCACCUUAUUCGCACUGCCCACCCGCAUUCGGAUCCUAGAGUUCACUAGCAAGCAUGCACGUACGUUGCACGUAUAAUCUUUGAGAAAUUUUAAGUUAUGUUUUCUUUAAUCCUUAAACUUGUAAGGAAUCAGUAUAAGAAACUCAUCAAUUUUAUCAUUAGCAUCCCACAUCACAUUUUCCAAACGGAUUGUCAGAUUAAAGUCGGCUCUUUCCAUCAACAUGCCACGGAGUACUCUUGGCCAGGUCUCUAAGCUCGCCUGAGUCAAACACGGUCAAAAUGGUGGCGAUGGUGAACGAAAUCUAAGGAUUGAGAGCAGAUGAAAGAGAAGAGAGGAGAGCAAAAACCAAUAGGCGGCGAAAGGGAGAGUGGUGGCCAUCGGCAUUGGGAGGCGGAUGAAGAGAAAAGACCAUCUCUCGACAUUUUUCUACAAGGAACAUAAUAUGAACAAGGGACACACAAACAAUUAUUUCAAAAGGAUAUGCACAGGAAGAUUGUUAAGGAUGUGACCAUAAGAUGAUUCAUGUUCACUAAUAUUUUGGAAACGGGUCCUAACUAUUUAUAAUCAAACAACAUCCACUUUAGUUUACGAAUUCCAAAGAAACUGAAGGGCGAUGGAAGUAGAUAAGCUUCAGAGCUAUGGGAGUAGUAGUAAAUUGUAUCUCUUAAUAAAAAAAAUUGAUCAAUAGAACAAAAGGAUUAACACAUAUGUGUACUUCUAAAAUACCGGGCCAUAUCUAUAUCUAUACCUAUAUCUAUAUCUAUAUCUAUCUAUCUAUAUCUAUAUCUAUAUCUAUAUCUAUAUCUAUCUAUCUAUAUCUACGUACAUGGGCCGCUCGUAGUGUGGCAUAGGAAAGCCAGCCCAGUUAUUUUUGUGAGCCUGUAGGUGGGUAAACCCUAUUUGUCGCUGCGAGCGUUAGAUAGGCACAAAUUCGCAAAAGGGGGGGGGGGGCAAGCUAGGCUGGCCCUUUUUUUGUGUGUGAUGUUUCUACUUUUCUUUUUUGUUUCUUUCUAUUCCUCUUUGGUCUUUUACCUUUCAAGUUUUUUCCCUUUUUUGUAAAUUCAAAAUUUUCAAAAAAAUUCAUAAUAUGAUAAAAUUUUGACUUUUUUAAAAAAUGUUCAGAAUUAUAAAAUUUAUUCCAUUUUGAAAAAUGUUCAGAACAUUAAAAAAAAUUGAGGUGAACUAGGGCUUUAUUCAAAAGAUAAUAAGGAAGGAAUACAAGUGAUGUUCGGUACGAUCCCUAGCCACAAACGGCGUCCAGAAGGGAGAGAUGAAGCAGCCUUGCAAUGGCAUGAGCUUCAACAUUUGCCUCCCUACACUCAUAUCUGAAACUAGAACUCAAAAAAUCUUUCAUAGUCUCUCUUAUCUCAUCUAUGAGUACAUCAUAAGAAGAAAGCACUUUCUUCCGAAUAUCUGAGACCACUUGCAUGCAAUCACAACCUAUGAUCACAUGGGAGAGGUUGAGGUCCUUUGCCAGAGCAAGUGCUUCGAUGCAUGCUAAUGCUUCCAGGCUUGCCGCAUCAACCAAGCCAUCAAAGGUAACAGCUGAAGAACCCAAAUACUUCCCAUCCUUGUCCCUGCAAAUCGCCGAGACUGCACCCCUUUUACCAUCCCGCGAAACUGCGCCGUCCACAUUAAUCUUUAGUGCACUCCCUUCUGGCGCAAUCCAUCUAUGGGAUCACUGAUGUGGUGGGCGUCCUGCUGCGGGUCUGCUUACAGAGACAAUAGUCAAGUCCUCUAGGUAUCUGUUGAUAAAGCACAUAGUGGACAAAGGACUCUGAAAUUCGUCAUCGUGAAUUGCCCUCCUCCUUGCCCACCAGAUGGCCCACAUGGUGACCAAUACUCUUGCUAACUCGUUCUGGUUCAUCGUAUCAAAGAGCCAGAAGAGCCACAGUCUAGGGUCUUCAGAUCUGUUAUAUAGCACAUGCUCGACUAUCUCCUCCUCGCCUAACGCCCACACGCACCUUGCCAUCCGGCAGUCAAAAAGCGAGUGCCUCCAUGUAUCAUUCUCCGCACCACACAGAGAACAUGCCGGCGUGUCCGCCAUAUUCCUUCCAUGCCUUGUAGUACCAGUCGGCAAAGACGUAUGUGACAAUCUCCAAGCAAAAAUUCUAACUUUUGAGGGAACUUUAACCUUCCAGAGCGAAGACCACGACUUCUUCUCCCGCACUUGGUUCGAGUGACCCCCUCUGUGUUCAAGCCAAUCUUCUCUUUGGAAUUUGAUAGCAUUGAUCAUUCUAUAUGCCGACCGCACCGAGAAAAUACCCUUUUUGUCAUAGUGCCAAGCCCAAAAAUCUGAUUGUACCCUCAAGCUCAAUGGUAUGUUCAGAAUCACAUCCACAUCUGGUGCAAGAAAAUGUUCUUGUAUCACCUCUCUCCUCCACGUCCUCGUCACUGGAUCAAUGAGUUCUGACACAAAUUGGGGUGGGUUCGUCAAUAUUGGGCAGAUAGGCCGCAGUUUGUAGUCCCGUGGCAACUAAUUCUCCUCCCAAAUGUGUGUGUCUGUCCCCGAACCAAUCCUCUUAAUCAAGCCAAGAGCAAGAAUGUCUCUUCCCUCAAGUAUCGACCGCCAAACCUGUGACGGGUGGGCUCCUAAAGCUGCAUCAAGUAUGUCCACAUCUGGAUAGUAACGAGCUUUUAAAACUCGAGCGCUGAGCGUGUCCGGUUCCUGUAGCAAUCGCCAUACCUGCCUGGAUAAGAGGGAAAGAUUGAAGAGCUCAAUAUCCCUGAAGCCUAAUCCUCCCAUGAAUUUGGGCUUACACAUAGUCCUCCAUGAGACCCAUGCUGGCUUCCUUUGGCCUUGCUUGCUACCCCACCAGAACUUCCGUAGUAGACCAUUGAUGUGUUCACAUAAUCCACGAGGGGGCCUGAAGCAUGCCAUGGAAUAUGUUGGUAUGGAUUGAGCAACAGACUUUAUUAAAACUUCCUUUCCUCCUGCCCGAUAGGCAUUUUUCAAUCCAUCCUUGGAUAUGCUUCCAAAUCCUGUCCUUCAGGUACCUGAAACAUCCCUCUUUCGCCUUGCCAACAUCAGUAGGAAGCCCUAGAUAUUUGUCGGUCAAAGCCUCGUUGUGGACAUCAAGCAGUAGCUUUAUCUCAUUACGUUGUGACUCUUCAACCAUUUUACUAAAAUAGAUCGAGGAUUUAUCAGUAUUAAUGCGUUGUCCCGAAGCAUCACAGUACAUCUUCAAAAGGUCUCGUACCUUCUCUGUACUCGCUCUUGUUGCCUCAAAAAACAGAAGAAUGUCAUCGGCGAACAACAAAUGAUUGACUGAUGGAGCCGUGGGUGCAACUGCCAAACUCUGUACUCCUAUAUUUUCUGCCUUCAGCAAGCAAGAUAAUCCUUCUGCAGCAAUAAGAAAUAAAUAGGGAGAGAUAGGAUCUCCCUGGCGAAGUCCUCGCGAAAUCAUCCAUAAUGCCUCCAUUAAACAGAACCGAGAAAGAAACGGAUGAGACGCACCUCAUUACAGUCUUCGUGAACCGUGGACUGAUCCCCAUCUUGAGCAUUACUGCCUUUAGAUAGGACCACUCUAACCGAUCAUAAGCCUUCAUCAUGUCGAGCUUAAGCACACAGAACCGGUUGCUCUUGAUCCUUCUAGACUUCAUAUAGUGCAAACAUUCAUAAGCUGUUAUAAAAUUAUCCGUGAUGAGACGUCCAGGAACGAAGGCCGACUGCUCUUCAGAAAUUACCUCGGGGAGAAUAACCUUCAACCUGUUAGCUAAGACCUUUGACGCGAUUUUGUAAACCACGUUGCAAAGGCUUAUAAGUCGAAAUUGUCCUAAGAGUUUUGGACUUGCUAUCUUGGGAAUAAGAACGAUGAACGUGCGGUUUAUAUCCUCCGGUGAGUCCUCUCCAUUGAGCACCCGUAUGAUCAUGCCUGUAAUCUCGUCUCCACAUAGCUCCCAGUGCCUCUGGAAAAAGUGGGCCAGAAAACCAUCCGGACCUGGAGCUUUUGUGGGGAACAUUUGAAACAAUGCUUUCUUAACUUCUUCUUUUGUAUACACAGCAUUCAGACGAGCAUUCAUGGCCCCAUCCACUCGAGAUGGUAUAUGUGAGAGUACCUCCUCGAUGCCAAUGGCUCCUUCGGAUGUGUAUAGUUGCUCAUAGAAGUUACUGGCCAUGCCGACCAUCUCCUCGGGAUUAGAAGUAUCAGAACCAUCCACUCUAGUCAGGCUCGUGAUUGUGUUUUUUGCUCUCCUCGCACUUGCCUUCUUCUGAAAAUACUAAGUGUUACUAUCUCCUUCUGACAGCUAACGGAUCCUAGACCGUUGCCGCAUCAUGAUCUCUUCCCUGUAACACAGUUCAACUAUCCAGUCCUGGACCUGUUUCUCCUCUGCCCCCGGUCCAACACGAUCGGUUACAGCCCUCAAAUCCGCUAGCUUCCGGCGUAGAUCGCGGAGCUCCCCUCGGACCGAACCACAAGUGGUUCAUCCCCACUGCUUUAAAGAUGUUGCCACGUUCGUUAGUUUUUCCGAUAGUUCAUGUACAGUAGUAGCUGGUUGGUCCCCCCGCCAAGCACGCUCGACUGUUGUAGAGAAAGAACCUUCCUGCUCCCACAUGCAUUCAUACCUGAAAGGCUUCUUCAAGGCCAGCCUCAGAUUAUUUGACUCCAACUCAUUAAGCAACAGAAUAGGGCUGUGAUCUGAUUUCGCUGCUGUUAGAUGCUCAAGGGAAGCGAAAGGAAACAUAGAAGACCAGCUUGGGGUAGCCAAGGCCCGAUCAAGACGAACCCUGCAGUAAUCUCCCCCAACAAUUAUUUUCUCAAAAGUCCAAUCCAAUCCCUUGUAACCAAGAUCUGCCAAUUCACACACAUCUACAGCUUCUCUAAACCCUGCAAUCUGUGCACUGUCCCUCUCAUUUGGGCCUAGUUGUUCCUCAGGCCUUAAAAUCUCAUUGAAGUCACCUAUGCAAACCCAUGGAAAAGAAUUUUCUCCUCUUAAGAACUUCAUCGUAUCCCAAGUUUUAUACCUCAAACUUCUGUUCGCCGCCCCAUAAAAGCAUGAUAGGCGCCACGGGUCCUUCCCUGUCUCAGUAACUACCGAGUCAAUGUGAUACUGAGAAAAGGUUUUUAUUUCAAGAUCUAUAUUAUUCUUCCAGUACAAGCAUAGACCUCCACUUCGACCACUACUCGCUACUCCAAAGUUACUAGAAAACCCUAAGCUACCCGCCAAACCUUCCACCCUGUACUUCGCAAGCUGUGUCUCAACAAUGCAAAGUACCAUCGGCGCACAAGCCUCCACAAGAUCGCGGAGCUCUCGAACUGUCGCGGGAUCGCCAAUCCCACGACAGUUCCAACAUAGGGUCCUCAUUGUGCUCGGCGGCCUCCCUGUCGGAGGCCGCCUGAGAUGACAACUCCAUGCCUUCCCCACCUACUUUCUCCUCUUGCUUCCGACGCUUCACAAUAGGAACCUUCCCCGGGGUUGUCGGUUUAGCACCCGUGGAAGUAGUGCCUGGUCCAUUCUCCAAGCACAAAACUGCAUUGACCACCUUCCCUGCAAGAUUGGGAAGGUUUUGCCCAUGGAUAUUGACAGUGCCGUUAGAAGAUACCAGCCUCUUGCGUACUAUUCUGUUCUCGUCCCCUGUGUGGUGACUUGCAGAAGCAGUCUCCAUAGGCACUUGAUCCCAGUCAUCCUCCUCACUUCCCCUUCCCUCAUUACCCUCUCCUCUCUCUUGCCUACCGCCUCUAGCACCUCUGCCACCUGUCCUUCCUCCUCUACUCCCUCCAUCCAUACCUCGUCCUCCUAUUGCAUACCUCACCGGAUCACCGUUCCACAGCAGCCAACUCCCCCAUUCACAGGUGCGAGGGUCAUGAAUCCCAUCGCCACAUUCCUCCACCGAGUGUCCCAUAAGACCGCAGAAGAAACAGAAUUCUGGCAGCCUUUCAUAGUAGACCGGAUAUUUCUUGCGCUCUUUCAAUGUAAUUGGGACAAAACGAACCAAAGGUUUAUUGACAUCCACAUAAACUCUGACUCGUAGAGUGCUUGAGGGAUUGAUUUUUCCUUCGUUCACAAUAACAGUAAACGGUGGUUCUCCUACUUUAGCCGCAACCUUUUCAGCUAAUGCCUUCUUCGUUGUCAGACCAUCCGGGAGCCCUUUGAUCCUAGCCCAAAGUGGAAUCUUGUUUAAUUUGUACUCUGAAACAUCUGUGAAGCCAUCGUACUCCUGUAUGACAACAGGAGCCGAGUUGCGGAAUAUCCACGGGCCGCCUUCCAUGAUCCUUUUCCAAUCACCUAGCAAUGGCACUGAACCAGAAAUAAAUUUGGCCCCUUCACAUUGAAAGUUACUCCUUGCGCCGAAGCCCACGCGUUCCUCAUCUGCCUCAACAACGCAGAAUGACUGAAGGGCUUUGUGGUAUGAACACGGAAGAGCCCUAGCCAGCAAACUCCCUUGAUCAGCUCGUCCACUUCCUCAGACAGAUCCAGAUCGUAUUCUUCCUCUCCGUGCAGAUGCAUCCCCGCAAACUGAUCUUCAAGAUCGGCCUCCGGUCCAUACGAAUCACCUAGCUCCUCUUCGUCCAGAUCGGUUUCCUUCAAACCAUCUACCUCACCUCCCAUCUCUUCCCUAGCCUCCGCCUCCUUCGCUUGAUUCAGCCUGCUGCACUCCCCCUUCUCCAGAUCACCCAUGUUCUCCAUACCUGCUACUACCUCCUUCUCCUUCCUAAUCUCUUCCCUCACGCUCGUCGCCUUCGGUAAACUGGCCAUGCAGAUCAAGCUCCGCAUGCCUGACAGUGUUGCGCUCCCGACUAGCCGAACAGAUCCGGCCGCCGUGGAGGAUUUACGUGGACUCCGGUGGUAGCCGCCGGAGGAUAGGUGGAACCCUAGAAUCGCCUAGGGGAAAGUCAUCAUCGUUUGUUCAGAACAUUAAAUAUUUGUUCCCAUUCCAAAAUGGUCGCAAAUUUGCACAAGGCGUCCGGGCUGGGCUGAACCGUCUUGUUUUUUUAUUCUAUGUUAUGUUUCUGUUUUUCUUUUUCCAUUUAUGUCUAUUUUUCUUUCCUAUUCUUUUUUUCAAGUUUAUUUUUCUUUCUCCCUUUUUUCGUAAAUUAAAAUUUUUCAUAAAAGUUCAUAAUAUCAAUAAAAUCUAUUUUAAAAAAUGUUCAGGAUUUUAAAAUAUAUACCUUUUUGAAAAAUGUUCAGAACAUUAAAUCUUUGUUCUCAUUCAAAAAUUAGUUUAGAUUUUUAAAACAAUGUUCCAUUUUUUCCUUUGUGGUUUCCAAAGUUGUUCGAGAUUCUUUGAAAAAAGAAUUUAAAAAAUGUUCCAAAUAUGAAAAAUAUUCUUGUUUUAAUGAAAUGUUUGCAAAUUCAGAAUAAUGUCAAGAAACACAUUUUCAAAAAAUUGUUCUGAAUGUUCAAAAUAUGUUUCAUUUUUCAAAAAAAAUCACAUAUUCAAAACAUGUUCAUGUUAUUAUAAAAGGUUUAUGUUUUCAAAUAAAAUUGUGGAUUUUGAGUGUUUUAUAUUUUGUUGUGUAUUUGUGAAAAUGUAAAGAAUUUCAAAAAAUGUUGGGGAUUUUCAAAAUUAUUCAUGUUUUCAGGAAUGUUCAACAAUUUAUAUUUUUUAAACAGUUCAAAAAAAAUGUUUCCAAUCUGACCUUAGAGUAUGAUCUUAAAGGUUUGAGCUGGCCAAUGCUUGGUAGGACUCAUUUCUUUGAGUGGCUAGCAGCAUGUAGUCAGGUCUUUGAGGGCAUGAUUUUGAUCCCUCAACUCAUCAUUUUUUGAAUUUUUUUUCGUGCCUACUAACACAGGUCGUCUUGGUGCCUACCAGUGUGCGCCCCAUGCGCUAUUUUACGCAACUAGCGUCAUAUAGUAGCCCCCAUGCAGUUGGCCCAAGAAACAAAUUGCUCCGUCGCAUAGGUUGUAUUAUGCCUCAACCGCGCUCCCCUACUGGGUCGUUCGAGGGAGCAAUUUUUUUCCUUGGGCCAAUAAAAAAGAAUAUAUUGGUUUGGCUCGAAUAAAAAAACUGGGCACGCGAGUGCUAAAAUAAUCAAAGAGAAUAAACCCUAAUAGAGAAGGGACAUUGGUGUCUGGUUAUGCGCUAAAUAUGCUAAUGAAAUGGGAUUUAUGCGCUACAAUUAGUAAUCCAUCCGGUUAUGCCAUCGUAAGAAAGAAUGGUCGAAGCAACUGUGCCCCGAAAGUGACCGCAUAGCUACCAAAUGAGGAGGCAGACACAACCCCUAGACAGAGGCGGACCCCAAAGAGAAAAGACACGAGUUGGAUGGUUGCCGCCACGCCGACUAACGCCACUACUAUCAAGAUCUCGCGGAACAAACAUGACCCACGAGAAGACCACAACUCCUCUCUCUAUUGCACCGCUAUGGAGAUAAUUUUUGAUGGACACAUCAAUUAUCUCUCCCAUUGCUUCUCCAAAGAAACAUCUCUCCCUUUGCAAGACACGGGCAUAUGUGCUAGUAACAUUAAAGAGCAUACAAGGUCAUUUAUUCAUAGUUACAUAGCAAGCAGGAACAUCCAUCAUGGCAUCAUCCAUGACUGCAUGAACCAUGCAGGAAGAGACUGCUUCUCUUUUUAGGUUCCUCGGUAUGACUACUUUCUGCAUCACCAUUUGCCGAUGAGUAUAUUCCUUCUUUUUUGCGAAAAUGAUUGAGAUUCCAAGAUCUCCAAACAACCACUACUGCCACCAAAACGGGCCGCCGACGCGCCUAUGUCGCCACUCCCCUACUGGAGCCGGCAUGACCUUGUCAAUGACAGCCAGGAAGUCUUCAUGCAUGUGACCCUAAGGACCAAUGCCCUGGAGCCGUAGUCUUCACCAUUGAACCCUUGCAUAUAUCUAUAGCACCGGACACCAAAUCUCUCCAAAAGAGGAGAAACCAUAACCUCACCACCCCAAAGAGAUGCCAGGAAUCUAUGUGAGAGCUCCAUCGACUACGUCUAGAUAGACGCACUCGAGGAGGAUCGGAACCCGGAAGACAAACUAAGAAGUAGCGCCGCCAUCUGCCCAAGCACCGCACCUGCAAGGACUAAACAACCAUAACCUAAACUACUAACCAUAGCGGAGGCACCGACAUUCCCCUCCCUGCCACCGGCCGCCGGAGUGGCACACAGAGGGGAGGCGAAUCCAUGGGCUCGCAGGAGAAGUUUGGAGAGAACGGUUUACCCUAGCCCCAUAUGGUUAGGAAGGAAACAAAAUAAAUGAUUUACCUGAGAACAAACAGAUUAUUGAGCAUAUUGUGGCUUGGCAGAUAUAAAAAUUGUCAAGAACAUCAUAUUAGCAAUAUUUAGUUGGUUCAAUAUAAUGGUACAAUGGUAGAUUUUGUUUCAUUUAUCUAUGUAAUGGAAGACCAUAAAAAUUGAAAUGACUCGCGAGAAACUUACCAGAGUUGUUCCAUGGUCUUUGUAGACAUGCACCUUGUAUACAACUCCAGAAAAAACAUGCUUAGUGGAUAAGCUUCCAUAUGAGUUGACAAAUGAUCACCAACAGUAGUGUGAACAAACAGUACUCACCAUUUUAAUUCAAUUUCUUUAUGGGAACACAUCAAGCUUGGAAAAACUUGGGUAAGUCCAAUUUCGUCCAUCAUCUUGGGUAAAAGAAUCUUGUGUGCCAUGAAAAAAAAUACAUAACCAAAUUGAAGAUAUUUAGGCCCGUGAACAAAUAACCAGCUAAAUCCAAAGAAGGCCGGAAGCAAAUCUUCAAUAUUUAAGCAGGCCUAAAGUCGAAAAGAAAUAAUGUACAUAAGGGGAAGAUAAAAUGACAACAUUUGGCAAAGUUUAUGGAGAUUACUAAUAUAGGCAUCAUUUGUAGAGAAAUAAAUGGAUAGAUCACAAGAGUAAUCGUAGCAUCAGGCACUCGAUCCAGACCUCGUUGCUGUAACCGCAAUUAGAAGAGUCAUUCAUUUAUUAAAAUUUCUGCCGAGUGUAGGGGACUAGUCCUUGUUGGUUACCUUUUGAGCAAUUUGAUAAAAUGGUACACUUUUCAUGAGAGUUUUGAUCCCAUUGUUUCACUUGAGAUACUUAUUGAUUGUGCCUCUCCUGAACAUUUUUGGCGCAUUAGUGGUGGAAAUAUGCCCUAGAGGCAAUAAUAAAGUUGUUAUUUUAUAUUUCCUUUAUCAUGAUAAAGGUUUAUUAUUCAUUCUAGAAUUGUAUUGAUCGAAAACUUAAACACAUGUGUGAAUACAUAAACAAAUACUCUGUCCCUAGUAAGACUCUACUAGACUAGCUCGUUGAUCAAAGAUGGUUACGGUUUCCUAACCAUGGACAUGAGUUGUCAUUUGAUAACGGGAUCACAUCAUUAGGAGAAUGAUGUGAUGGACAAGACCCAUCCGUUAGCUUAGCAUAAUGAUCGUUCAGUUUUAUUUGUAUUGCUUUCUUCAUGUCAAAUGCAUAUUCCUUUGACUAUGAGAUUAUGCAACUCCCGGAUACCGGAGGAAUACCUUGUGUGCUAUCAAACGUCACAACGUAACUGGGUGGUCAUAAAGAUGUUGUACAGGUAUCUCCAGAGGUAUUUGUUGAGUUGGCAUAGAUCGAGAUUAGGAUUUGUCACUCGAGUAUCAGAGAUGUAUCUCUGGGCCCUCUUGGUAAUACACAUCAUAAGCUUGCAAGAAAAUGACUAAGGAGUUGGUCACGAGGUGAUGUAUUAUGGAAUGAGUAAAGAGACGUGCCGGUAACGAGAUUGAACUAGGUAUUAAGAUACCGACGAUCGAAUCUCGGGCAAGUAACAUACCGAUGGAUAAAGGGAAUUACGUAUGUUGUCAUAACGGCUCAACUGACAAAGAUAUUCGUAGAAUAUGGGCAUUCAGGUUCCGCUAUUGGUUAUUGACCGGAGAGGUGUCUCGGUCAUGUCUACAUAGUUCUCGAACUCGUAGGGUCUGCACGCUUAAAGUUCGUUGAUUAUAUAGUAUUAUAUGAGUUAUGUGAUUUGAUGACCGAAUGUUGUUCGGAGUCCCGGAUGAGAUCACCAACAUGACGAGGAGUCUCGAAAUGGUCGAGAGGUCAAGAUUCAUAUAUAAGACGAUAGUAUUCAGACACCGGAAGUGUUUCGGAGGGUGCCGGGUACUUAUCGGGUCACCGGAAAGGAGUUUCAGGCACCCCCGGCGAAGAUAUGGGCCUUAUGGGCAAAGAGAGAAAACACACCAGCCAUAAGAGGCUGGUGCGCCCCCCAUAGCAGGCCAGCCUAAGGAGGAGAAGGAAAAGGGGGAGGGAAAGGUAAGUGUGGAUUAGGAUUCCCACUUCCUUCCCUCUCCCCCCUCUUUCCUUCCCCCUUGGGAAUACAUGGCAAGGGGGGGCGCGGCCAGGGCAGGAGCCCUAGGGCCGGCCGGCCACCUAUGUGGUUCGCCAGGCUGCCUCCCCUCCCCCUCCCACCUAUAUAUAUGUGGGAGGGGGGGCGCCUACCACACCCCGGAUCAAUUGUUAGCCGUGUGCAGCGCCCCCCCUCCGUUGUUUACACCCCAGUCAUAUUUUCGUAGUGUUUAGGCAAAGCCCCGCGGAGAUCACACCAUCACGGUCACCAUGCCACCGUGCUGCCAGAACUCAUCUACUACCUCUCCCUCUUGCUAGAACAAGAAGGCGGACAAUGUCACCGAGCUAAAUGUGUGAUGAACGCGGAGGUGUUGGACGUUCGGUACUAGAUCGGCUGGAUCAGAGCCAGGCCUAUGCGUAGAUGAUAUGCAUGAGUAGAACACAAAGAGCUGUGGGUGGUGAUAGUCAUACUGCUUAACACCAAUGUUUUAUUUUGAUUCGGCGGUAUUGUGGGGUGAAGCGGCCUAGACCAACCUUACAUGUCCACGCACAUGAGACCGGUUCCACUGACUGACAUGCAAUUAGUUUCGUAUAAAGGUGGCUUGCGGGUGUUUGUUUCUCCUACUUUAGUUGAGUCGAAUUUGACUACGACCGGUCCUUGAAGAAGGUUAAAACAGCAAACUUGAUGAAUCACCGUUGUGGUUUUUGCCGUAGGUAAGAAUGGUUCUUGCUAGAAGCCCGUAGCAGCCACGUAAAACAUGCAACAACAAACUAGAGGAUGUCUAACUUGUUUUUGCAGGGUAUGUUGUGAUGUGAUAUGGUCAAGACAUGAUGUGAUAUAUGUUAUUGUAUGAGAUGAUCAUGUUUUGUAAUUUAUCGGCAACCGGCGGGAGCCUUAUGGUUGUCUCUUUAUUGUAUGAAAUGCAAGCGCCAUGUAAUUGCUUUACUUUAUCGCUAUGCGUUAGCCAUAGUUGUUGAAGCAAUAGUUGGCGAGACGACCACGACGCGAUGAGGGAGAUCAAGGUGUCGAGCCGGUGACAAUGGAGAUCAUGACGAUGCUUUGGAGAUGGAGACCAAAAGCACAAGAUGAUGAUGGCCAUAUCAUGUCACAUAUUUUGAUUGCAUAUGAUGUGUAUCUUUUAUGCAUCUUAUUUUGCUUAGAACGACGGUGGCAUUAUAAGAUGAUCCCUUCACUAAAUUCAAGAUAUAAGUGUGAUAACCCACAAGUAUAGGGGAUCGCAACAGUUUUCGAGGGUAGAGUAUUCAACCCAAAUUUAUUGAUUCGACACAAGGGGAGCCAAAGAAUAUUCUUAAGUAUUAGCUGUCAAUUCAACCACACCUAGAUAACUUAAUAUCUGCAGCAAAGUAUUUAGUAGCAAAGUAGUAUGGAAGUAACUGUAACAGUAGCAGUUUUGUAGUAAUUGUAACAGUGGCAACGGAAAAGUAACUAAGCAAAGAGCAAUAUGUGAAAAGCUCGUAGGCAUUGGAUCAGUGAUGCAUAAUUAUGUCGGAUGCGAUUCCUCAUGUAAUAUUUAUAACAUAGGGUGACACAGAACUAGCUCCAGAUCAUCAAUGUAAUGCAGGCAUGUAUUCCAAAUAUAGUCAUAUGUGCUUAUGGAAAAGAACUUGCAUGACAUCUUUUGUCCUACACUCCCGUGGCAGUGGAGUCCUAUUGGAAACUAAGGGAUAUUAAGGCCUCCUUUUAAUAGAGUACCGGACAAAAGCAUUAACACUUAUUGAAUACAUUAACUCCUCAACUACGGUCAUCACCAAGAGUGGUCCCGAUUAUUGUCACUUCGGGGUUGUUGGAUCAUAACACAUAAUAGGUGAAUAUAGACUUGCAAUAUAGGAUCAAGAACUCAGAUAUAUUCAUGAAAACAUAAUAGCUUCAGAUCUGAAAUCAUGGCCCUCGGUCCCUAGUGACAAGCAUUAAGCAUAGCAAAGUCAUAGCAACAUCAAUCUCGGAACAUAGUGGAUACUAGGGAUCAAACCCUAACAAAACUAACUCGAUUACAUGGUAAAUCUCAUCCAACCCAUCACCGUCCAGCAAGCCUACGAUGGAAUUACUCACGCACGGCGGUGAGCAUCAUGAAAUUAGUGAUGGGGGAUGGUUGACGAUGACAACAGCGAUGGAUUCCCCUCUCCGGAGCCCCAAACAGACUCCAGAUCAGCCCUCCUAAGAGAGUUUAGGGCUUGGCGGCGGCUCCGUAUUGUAAAACGCGAUGAAUCCUUCUCUCUGAUUUUUUCUCCCCGGACGUGAAUAUAUGGAGGUUGACGUGAGGUCGGUGGAGCUCCAGGGGGGCCACAAGGCAAGGGGGCGCGCCCAGGGGCUAGGCGCGCCCCCACCCUCGUGGACGGGGUGUGGGCCCCCUAACGUUGAUUCUUUCGCCAAUAUUUUUUAUUAAUUCCAAAAAGUUGCUCCAUGGAUUUUCAGGUCAUUCCGAGAAAUUUUAUUUCUGCACAAAAAUAACACCAUGGCAGUUCUGCUGAAAACAGAGUCAGUCCGGGUUUCCAUUCAAAUCAUGCAAGUUAGAGUCCAAAACAAGGGCAAAAGUGUUUGGAAAAGUAGAUACGAUGGAGAUGUAUCAACUCCCCCAAGCAUAAACCUUUGCUUGUCCUCAAGCAAUUCAGUUGACAAACUGAAAGUGAUAAAGAAAAACUUUUACAAACUCUGUUUGCUCUUGUUGUUGCAAAUAUGUAAAGCCAGCAUUCAAGUUUUCAGCAAAGAUUAUGAACCAACCAUAUUCACAAUAACACUUAGGUCUCAUAUUUACUCAUAUCAAUGGCAUAAUCAGCUAGCGAGCAAUAAUAAUAAAACUCAUAUGACAACACUUUCUCAAAACAAUCAUAAUAUAAUAUAACAAGAUGGUAUCACACUAGCCCUUUCUGAGACCGCAAAACAUAAAUGCAGAGUACCUCCGAAGAUCAAGGACUGACUAAACAUUGUAAUUCAUGGUAUAAGAGAUCCAUUCAUAGUCAUAUUCAAUAUAAAUUAAUAGUAAUGCAUGCAAAUGACAGCGGUGCUCUCCAACUGGUGCUUUUUAGUAAGAGGAUAUUGACUCAACAUAAAAGUAAAUAGAUAGGCCCUUCGCAGAGGGAAGCAGGGAUUUGUAGAGGUGCCAGAGCUCGAUUUUGAAAUAGAGAUAAAUAAUAUUUUGAGCGGUAUACUUUCAAUGUCAACAUAACAACUGAGAGAUCUCGAUAUCUUCCAUCGUACACACAUUAUAGGCGGUUCCCAAACAGAAUGGUAAAGUUUAUACUCCCUCACCACCAAUAAUCAUCAACCCAUGGCUUGCCCGAAAAAACGGGUGCCUCCAACUAACAUCAAUCCUAGGGGAAUUUUCUUUGCAUUUAUUAUGAUUUGAGCAUGGGACUGGGCAUCCCGGUUACCGACCAUUUUCUUGUGAGUGAGGAGCGGAGUCCACUCCUCUUGAUAAUAACCCGCCUAGCAUGGAAGAUACAGACAGCCCUUGUUGAUACAUGAGCUGUUCGAGCAUACAAAACAGAAUUUCAUUUGAAGGUUUAGAGUUUGGCACAUACAAAUUUACUUGGAACGGCAGGUAGAUACCGCAUAUAGGAAGGUAUGGUGGACUCAUAUGGAAUAACUUUUUAUGGACUUUGGAUGCACAAGCAGUAUUCCCGCUUAGUACAAGUGAAGGCUAGCAAGAGACUAGGAAGCGACCAACUAGAGAGCGACAACAGUCAUGAACAUGCAUUAAAAUUAAUCAACACUGAGUGCAAGCAUGAGUAGGAUAUAAUCCACCAUGAACAUAAAUAUCGUUGAGGCUAUGUUGAUUUUGUUUCAACUACAUGCGUGAACAUGUGCCAAGUCAAGCCACUCGAAUCAUUCAAAGAAGGAUACCACCCUAUCAUACCACAUCACAACCAUUUUAAUAGCAUGUUGGCACACAAGGUAAACCAUUAUAAACUCCUAGCUAAUUAAGCAUGGCAUAAGCAACUAUAAUCUCUAAUUGUCAUUGCAAACAUGUUUAUUCAUAAUAGGCUGAAUCGGGAAUGAUGAACUAGUCAUAUUUAGAAAAACAAGAUAGGUCGAGUUCAUACCAGCUUCUCUCAUCUCAAUCAGUCCAUCAUAUAUCGUCAUUAUUGCCUUUCACUUGCAUGACUGAACGGUGUGGAUAAUUAUAAUAGUGCACGUGCAUUGGACUAAGCUGGAAUCUGCAAGCGUUCAAUCAAGGGAAGACACGAUAAUAUGGGCUCUUGGUUAAAUCAAUAAUAAUGCAUAUAAGAGCCACUCAACAUUUUCAUCAAGUUCUUCUCCUCUCGACCCCCAAAGAAAAGAAAAGAAAUAAAACUAUUUACACGGGAAAGCUCCCAACAAGCAAAAGAAGAACUAGAAAUCCUUUUGGGUUUUCUUUUAAUUACUACUACUACAGGCAUGGAAAGUAAACUAGCUAAAAGCUAACUAAUUUUUUUUCUUAAGGUUAUUCAAACACACAAUAAGAAAGCAAGAAAAAGAAAAUAAACUAGCAUGGAUAGUACAAUGAAAAAGUAUGAGCACCGACAACUAGAAUGAGUGUGUGAACAUGAAUGUAAUGUCGGUGAGAAAUACGUACUCCCCCAAGCUUAGGCUUUUGGCCUAAGUUAGUCUAUGCCCAUGGAUUGGAGCUACUCUCUCCGGUGUACUGAGGAGUGUCAUCCGAGUGCCACUGGCUGGCGAUCUCCUUCGGAUCCCACUGAUAAAAGGACUGUCGAUAAGGGUCAAGUGGUGGUUCCGGCUCAGUCUCUCGAGCUGGUGUCUGGCUCCGGUAUGCGUGAACGACCUCCGGCAAGAUGAGGUAUGUGCCUGAAGAUAAGUCAAAAAAAGAGGGUGCAGGCAAGAUAAUAGUCUCACUGUGAGUUCUAUUAAAUCUCAAAUUAUACUUAAGCAUCAUCUCAUAAUUUUUAACAAUAAAUUCAUGUGCUACCAUACUCUUAUAAUCUAGAAAAAUAGAGGGCAGCAACUUUUCCUCUUUCUCAUAAUGUCUAAUUGGUAUCCUAAAGUGUUUAGCAAGGCGUGAAGCAAAGAUGCCUCCAAAGAUGGGGCCCUUUGUACGAUACAGACUUAAUCGAUUAGCAACAAUAGCACCUAAACUAAUAGUGUUAUCGCGAAACAAAGCAUGGCACAAAAUAACAAUAUCAGGGGCAAUAAGGUUUCCACAGUUCCCGCGACCAAUUAAGCAUCUACUAGCAAAUAUUGCAAAGUAACGUAGAACAGGAAAGUGUAUGCUAGUAAUUCUUGCAUCGGAAACCUUCCUUGUUUCCCCUACAUCAAUCAUAUCAAUGAAUCCAUCCACAUCACUACGAUGUGGUUCCUCUAUGUUGCCCUCAAAGGGUACCUUGCAAACCCCACAGAAAUCAUAUAGUGACAUCUCCCUAACUUCAUCAUAUAAAUGAGACUCCACUGAAGGUGAUGAUUUCUUAGCAUGAAAGUAAAAUUUUUGGACGAAAGUAUUAGUGAGUAGGAGAUACUGAUCGAGCUGGUCGUGGAGGAAGUCGGUGAGGCCUGCAUUAUCAGCCAAAGAAUAAAAAUCAUCCUGAAUCCCGACUUUUUUCAAGAACUCAUCACAAGACCAUUCACACGGCCGAACCUCUGCGACGCGAGGGAGAUUAUAUUUGGGCUUUUUAUUCUCCUUAUUUUGUUUAUCCUUCGAGCUUUGGCUCGAAGAUCCCCUCAAAAACCUCUUCAUCAUUUUCUGAAAAUUUCUGAAAUUUUUAGUAACUCAAAAUAAAAGUGAACCAAACUCAACAAAAUUGAUAGCAACUACUCCCACAAGUGCCUAGAGACUAUAUCAUGCAUUAAAAAUACUUGGGACCAUAUAAAUUUGACAUGCAAGCUCAAGAACAGGGUCACCUUAGCAGGAAAAAAUUGCAAUGAAUAAAGCACUAGAACAAAAUUUGCAAUGAAUAAAGCACUAGGAAAAAUUGAUAGCAACUACUCCCACAAGUGCCUAGAGACUAUAUCAUGCAUUAAAAUACUUGGGACCAUAUAAAUUUGACAUGCAAGCUCAAGAAUAGGGUCACCUUAGCAGGAAAAAUUUGCAAUGAAUAAAGCACUAGAACAAAAACUAAUUGAACCAUUGGAGGAGUCACAUACCAAAGAACAAUCCCCCAAAGCAAUUUUGUGAUUGGAGCUUUGAGCAAGGAGACCGAAAAUGGCAGCAAGAUGAGCUAGAACUCGUGCUUGAACUGGUUGGUGAUUUUUUGGGAGGAAGAAGUAGUGUGUGGGUGUAGGAAUGAGUGGAGGGGGGCCACCAGGGGCCCAUGAGGCAGGGGAUGCGCCCAGGGGGGUAGGGAGCGCCUUGGACCCUCGUGGCCAGGUGCUUGCUCCCCCUAAUGUGUUCUCAGUGCCAGAUAUUCUCAAAUAUUCUAGAAAAAAUCAUAUUUCGUUUUCAGGGCAUUUGGAGAACUUUUAUUUUUGGGGUAUUUUUUAUUGCAUGGAUAAAUCAGAAAAUAGACAGAAAAUACUAUUUUUGCUUUAUGUAAUCUAAAUAACAGAAAGUAAAAGGAGGGUACAGAAGGUUUUGCUUUCUAACUUCAUCCAUCUCAUCCUCAUCAAAAGGAAUCCACUAACAAGGUUGAUCAAGUCUUGUUAACAAACUCAUUCCGAAUCGCAUGAAACCGGAGAAUUUUCGAAUAGCACUAGGUUACCUCAACGGGGAUAUGUACAUCCCCAAUAGUAAGAAUAUCAUAUUUCUUCUUGAUAGUAGGAAGAGGAAAUUCAAAACCUCCAAUAAUAAUCAAUGGAAUUUUUCCAAUAGAAUUGAUACUGUGAACUUGAGGUUGUUUCCUCGGAAAGUGUACCAUAUGCUCAUUACCAUUAACAUGAAAAGUGACAUUGCCUUUGUUGCAAUCAAUAAUAGCCCUUGCAGUAUUCAAAAAAGGUCUACCAAGGAUAAUCGACAUACUAUCGUCCUCGGGAAUAUCAAGAAUGACAAAGUCCGUUAAAAUAGUAACAUUUGCAACCACAACAGGCACAUCCUCACAAAUACCGACAUGUAUAGCAGUUGAUUUAUCGGCCAUUUGCAAAUAUAUUUCAGUAGGUGUCAACUUAUUCAAUUCAAGUCUACGAUAUAAAGAGAGAGGCAUCACACUAACACCGGCUCCAAGAUCACAUAAAGCAGUUUUAACAUAGUUUCUUUUAAUGGAGCAUGGUAUAGUUGGUACUCCUGGAUCUUCUAGUUUCUUAGGUAUUCCUCCCUUAAUUAGCAAGCAUGGUGGAAAUUUCUGCUUCCGGUAUCUUUCUUUUAUUUGUAACAAUAUCUUUCAUGUACUUAGCAUAAGGAUUCAUUUUAAGCAUAUCAGUCAAAUGCAUACGCAAAAAGAUAGGUCUAAUCAUUUCAGCAAAGCGCUCAAAAUCCUCAUCAUCCUUUUUCUUGGAUGGUUUAGGAGGAAAAGGCACGGGUUUCUGAACCCAUGGUUCCCUUUCUUUACCAUGCUUCCUAGAAACGAAGUCUCUCUUAUCAUAACGUUGAUUCUAUGAUUGUGGGUUAUCAAGAUCAACAGCAGGUUCAACCUCUAUAUCAUUGUUAUUGCUAGGUUGAGCAUCAACAUGAACAUCAUCAUUAACAUUAUCACUGGGUUCAAGUUCAUCACCAAAUUGUGUUUCAGCAUCAGAAAUACAAAUAUCAUUGGGAUUCUCAGGUGUGUCUACAACAGGUUCACUAGAAGCAUGCAAAGUCCUAUCAUUUUUCUUCUUCUUCUUAGAAGGACUAGGUGCAUCAACAUUAUUUCUCUGAGAAUCUCGCUCAAUUCUCUUAGGGUGGCCCUCAGGAUACAAAGGUUCCUGAGUCAUUUUAUCACCUCUAGUCAUAACUCUAACAACAUUAUCAUUUUUCUUAUUAUUUAAUUCAUUGGGAAAAUCAUUUUGAGCUUUAAGCACUUGUUCUACUUGAGUGGUAACCAUAGAAGCAUGUUUACUAAUGAGUCUAAGUUCACCCUUAACUCUAGACAUAUAAUCACUCAAGUGUCCAAACAUAUAAGCAUUACUUUUCAAUUGUCUACCAACAUAAGCAUUGAAGUUUUCUUGUCUAGCCAUAAUAAAGUCAUCAAACUCAUCCAAGCAUUGGCUAGCAAACUUAGUAGACGGGAUUUCAACUUUAUCAAAUCUAUAGAAAGAAUUUACCUAUACUACCUGUGUCGGGUUAUCAAGGCCAUGUAUUUCUUCAACAGGAGGUAAAUUCUUAACAUCUUCAGCUUUAAUACCUUUUUCUUUCAUAGAUUUCUUUGCCUCUUGCAUAUCUUCUGGACUGAGAAAUAGAACACAUCUUUUCUUCGGAGUUGGCUUAGGAGUUAGUUCAGGAAGUGUCCAAUUAUUUUCAUUAGUGAACAUAUUAUUCAAUAGCAAUUCAGCUUGAUCGACUGUUCUUUCCCUGAAAACACAACCAUCACAACUAUCCAGGUGGUCUCUCGAAGCAUCGGUUAGUCCAUUAUAAAAGAUAUCAAGUAUUUCAUUUUUCUUGAGAGGAUGGUCAGGCAAAGCAUUAAGUAAUCGGAGAAGCCUCCCUCAAGCUUGUGGGAGACUCUCUUCUUCAAUUUGCACAAAAUUAUAUAUUUCCCUUAAGGCAGCUUGUUUCUUAGGAGCGGGGAAAUAUUCAGCAGAGAAGUAAUAAAUCAUAUCCUGGGGACAACGCACACAACCAGGAUCAAGAGAAUUAAACCAUGUGUUUAGCAUCACCCUUUAAUGAUAAUGGAAAUAACUUAAGGAUAUAAUAGUAGCUAGUUUUCUCAUCAUUAGUGAAUAGGGUGGCUAUAUCAUUUAACUUAGUAAGAUGUGCCACAAUAGUUUCAGAUUCAUAGCCAUAAAAAGGAUCAGAUUCAACUAAAGUAAUUAUCUUAGGAUCGACAAAGAAAUCAUAAUCCUUAUUAGUAACACAGAUAGGUGAAGUAGCAGAAGCAGGGUCAUAUUUCAUUCUAGCAUUCAGAGACUUUUCUUUAAGCUUGGCUAAUAAUUUCUUAAGAUCAGAUCUACAAGCAAGAAAAUCUCUAGCAGUUUCUUCAUCCAUAACAUAACCCUCAGGCACAACAGGCAAUUCAUAUCUAGGGGGAGAAUCUUCAUCAUCACUUUCAUCAAUAUUAUCAGUUUCAAUAAUUUCAUUCUCUCUAGCCCUAGCAACUUGUUCAUCAAGAAAUUCACCUAAUGGAACAGUAGUAUCAAGAAUAGAAGUAGUUUCAUCAUAAGUAUCAUGCAUAGCAGAAGUGGCCUCAUCAAUAACAUGCGACAUAUCAGAAUUAAUAGCAUAAGCAGGUUUAGGUGUUGCAAGCUUACUCAAAACAAAAGGUGAAUCAAGUGCAGAGCUAGAUGGCAGUUCCUUACCUCCCCUCGUAGUUGAGGGAAAAAUCUUAGUUCUCUCGUCUUUCAAGUUCCUCAUAGUGAUCAGCAUAUAUAAAUCCCAAGUGACUCAAAGAAUAGAGCUAUGCUCCCCGGCAACGGUGCCAGAAAAUAGUCUUGAUAACCCACAAGUAUAGGGGAUCGCAACAGUUUUCAAGGGUAGAGUAUUCAACCCAAAUUUAUUGAUUCGACACAAGGGGAGCCAAAGAAUAUUCUUAAGUAUUAGCAGUUGAGUUGUCAAUUCAACCACACCUGGAUAACCUAAUAUCUGCAACAAAGUAUUUAAUAGCAAAGUAGUAUGGAAGUAACAGUAACAGUAGCAGUUUUGUAGUAAUUGUAACAGUGGCAACGGUAAAAUAACGAAGCAAAGAGCAAUAUGUGAAAAGCUCGUAGGCAUUGGAUCAGUGAUGGAUAAUUAUGUCGGAUGCGAUUCCUCAUGUAAUAGUUAUAACAUAGGGGGACACAAAACUAGCUCCAGUUCAUCAAUGUAAUGUAGGCAUAUAUUCCGAAUAUAGUCAUACGUGCUUGUGGAAAAGAACUUGCACGACAUCUUUUGUCCUACCCUCCCGUGGCAGCGGGGUCCUAUUGAAAACUAAGGAAUAUUAAGGCCUCCUUUUAAUAAAGUACCAGACCAAAGCAUUAACACUUAGUGAAUACAUGAACUCGUCAAACUACGGUCAUCAUCGAGUGUGAUCCCGAUUAUUGUCAUUUCGGGGUUGUCGGAUCAUAACACAUAAUAGGUGAAUAUAGACUUGCAAGAUAGGAUCAAGAACUCACAUAUAUUCAUGAAAACAUAAUAGGUUCAGAUCUGAAAUCAUGGCACUCAGGCCCUAGUGACAAGCAUUAAGCAUAGCAAAGUCAUAGCAACAUCAAUCUCAGAACAUAAUGGAUACUAGGGAUAAAACCCUAACAAAAUUAACUCGAUUACAUGGUAAAUCUCAUCCAACCCAUCACCGUCCAGCAAGCCUAUGAUAAACUUACCAGAGUUGUUCCAUGGUCUUUGUGGACAUGCACCUUGUAUACAACUCCAGAAAAAGCAUGCUUAGUGGAUAAGCUUCCAUAUGAGUUGACAAAUGAUCACCAACAGUAGUGCGAACAAAUAGUACUCACCAUUUUAAAUCAAUUUCUUUAUGGGGACACAUCAAGCUUGGAAAAACUUGGGUAAGUACAAUUUCGUCCAAAUACAUCAUCUUGGGUAAAAGAAUCUUGUGUGCCGUGAAAAAAAAUACAUAACCAAAUUGAAGAUAUUUAGGCCCGUGAACAAAUAACCAGCUAAAUCCAAAGAAGGCCGGAAGCAAAUCUUCAAUAUUUAAGCAGGCCUAAAGUCGAAAAGAAAUAACGUACAUAAGGGGAAGAUAAAAUGACAACAUUUGGCAAAGUUUAUGGAGAUUACUAAUAUAGGCAUCAUCUAUAGAGAAAUAAAUGGAUAGAUCACAAGAGUAAUCGUAGCAUCGGGCACUCGAUCUAGACCUCGUUGAUGUAACCGCAAUUAGGAGAGCCGUUCAUUUAUUAAAAUUUCUGCCGAGUGUCGGGGACUAGUCCUUGUUGGUUACCUUUUGAGCAAUUAGAUAAAAUGGUACACUUUUCAUGAGAGUUUUGAUCCCAUUGUUUCACUUGAGAUACCUAUUGAUUGUGCCUCGCCUGAAUAUUUUUGGCGCAUUAGUGGAGGAAAUAUGCCCUAGAGGCAAUAAUAAAGUUGUUAUUUUAUAUUUCCUUAUUCAUGAUAAAGGUUUAUUAUUCAUGCUAGAAUUGUAUUGAUCAAAAACUUAAAUACAUGUGUGAAUACAUAAACAAAUACCGUGUCCCUAGUAAGCCUCUACUAGACUAGCUCGUUGAUCAAAGAUGGUUAAGGUUACCUAACCAUGGACAUGAGUUGUCAUUUGAUAACGGGAUCACAUCAUUAGGAGAAUGAUGUGAUGGACAAGACCCAUCUGUUACCUUAGCAUAAUGAUCGUUCAGUUUUAUUGAUAUUGCUUUCUUCAUGUCAAAUGCAUAUUCCUUUGACUAUGGGAUUAUGCAACUCCCGGAUACCGGAGGAAUACCUUGUGUGCUAUCAAACAUCACAACAUAAUUGGGCAUAAAUAUGCUCUACAGGUAUCUCCGGAGGUAUUUGUUGAGUUGGCAUAGAUCGAGAUUAGGAUUUGUCACUCGAGUAUCGGAGAGGUAUCUCUGGGCCCUCUCGGUAAUACACAUCAUAAGCUUGCAAGCAAAUGACUAAGGAGUUGGUCACGAGGUGAUGUAUUAUGGAAUGAGUAAAGAGACGUGCCGGUAACGAGAUUGUACUAGGUAUGAAGAUACCGACGAUCGAAUCUCGGGCAAGUAACAUACCGAUGGAUAAAGGGAAUUACAUAUGUUGUCAUAACGGCUCAACCGAUAAAGAUAUUCGUAGAAUAUGGGCAUCCAGGUUCCGCUAUUGGUUAUUGACCGGAGAGGUGUCUCGGUCAUGUCUACAUAGUUCUCGAACUCGUAGGGUCUGCACGCUUAACGUUCAUUGACAAUAUAGUAUUAUAUGAGUUAUGUGAUUUGAUGAUCGAAUGUUAUUCGGUGUCCCGGAUGAGAUCACAGACAUGACGAGGAGUCUCGAAAUGGUCGAGAGGUCAAGAUUCAUAUAUAAGACGGUAGUAUUCAGACAUCGGAAGUGUUUCGGAGGGUGCCAGGUACUUAUCGGGUCACCGGAAAGGAGAUUCGGGCACCCCCGGCAAAGAUAUGGGCCUUAUGGGCAAAGAGAGAAAACGCACCAGUUAUAAGAGGCUGGUGCGCCCCCCCAUAGCAGGCUGGCCUAAGGAGGAGAAGGAAAAGGGGGAGGGAAAGGAAAGUGAGGAUUAGGAUUCCCACUUCCUUCCCUCUCCCCCCUCUUUCCUUCCCCAUUGGGAAUACAUGGCAAGGGGGGGGGCGCGGCCAGGGCAGGAGCCCUAGGGCCGGCCGGCCACCUAUGUGGUACGCCAGGCUGCCUCCCCUCCCCCUCCCACCUAUAUAUAUGUGGGAGGGGGGCGCCUAGCACACCCCAUAUUAAUUGUUAGCUGUGAGCAGUGCCCCCCUCCGCCGUUUACACCACCAGUCAUAUUUUUGUAGUGCUUAGAAAAAGCCCAGCGGAGAUCACACCAUCACCGUCACCAUGCCACCAUGUUGCCGGAACUCACCGACUACCUCGCCAUCUUGCUGGAUGAAGAAGGCAGAGGACGUCACCGAGUUGAACGUGUGCUGAACGCGGAGGUGAUGUACGUUCGGUACUAGAUCGGUUGGAUCAGAGCCAGGCCUAUACGUAGAUGAUAUGCACGAGCAGAACACAAAGAGUUGUGGGUGGUGAUAGUCAUACUACUUACCACCAAUGUUUUAUUUUGAUUCGGCGGUAUUGUGGGGUGAAGCGGCCCAGACCAACCUUACAUGUCCACGCACAUGAGACCGGUUCCACCGAUUGACAUGCAACUAGUUUUGUAUAAAGGUGGCUGGCGGGUGUCUGUUUCUCGUACUUUAGUUGAAUCGAAUUUGACUACGACCGGUCCUUGAAGAAGGUUAUUACGGCAAACUUGAUGAACCACCGUUGUGGUUUUUGCCGUAGGUAAGAACGGUUCUUGCUAGAAGCCCGUAGCAGCCACGUAAAACUUGCAACAACAAAGUAGAGGGCGUCUAACUUGUUUUUGCAGGGUAUGUAGUGAUGUGAUAUGGUCAAGACAUGAUGUGAUAUACGUUAUUGUAUGAGAUGAUCAUGUUUUGUAAUUUAUCGGCAACCGGCAGGAGCCUUAUGGUUGUCUCUUUAUUGUAUGAAAUGCAAGCGCCAUGUAAUUGCUUUACUUUAUUGCUAUGCGUUAGCCAUACUUGUAGAAGCAAUAGUUGGUGAGACGACCACGACGUGAUGAUGGAGAUCAAGGUGUCGAGCCGGUGACAAUGGAGAUCAUGACGAUGCUUUGGAGAUGGAGAAGAAAAGCACAAGAUGAUGAUGGCCAUAUCAUGUCACAUAUUUUGAUUACAUGUGAUGUGUAUAUUUUAUGCAUCUUAUUUUGCUUAGAACGAUGGUAGCAUUAUAAGAUGAUCCCUUCACCAAAUUCAAGAUAUAAGUGUGAUAACCCACAAGUAUAGGGGAUCGCAACAGUUUUCGAGGGUAGAGUAUUCAACCCAAAUUUAUUGAUUCAACACAAGGGGAGCCAAAGAAUAUUCUUAAGUAUUAGCAGUUGAGUUGUCAAUUCAACCACACCUGGAUAACGUAAUAUCUGCAGCAAAGUAUUUAGUAGCAAAGUAGUAUGGAAGUAACGGUAACAGUAGCAGUUUUGUAGUAAUUGUAACAGUGGCAACGAUAAAAUAACUAAGCAAAGAGCAAUAUGUGAAAAGCUCGUAGGCAUUGGAACAGUGAUGGAUAAUUAUGUCGGAUGCGAUUCCUCAUGUAAUAGUUAUAACAUAGGGGGACACAAAACUAGCUCUAGUUCAUCAAUGUAAUGUAGGCAUGUAUUCCGAAUAUAGUCAUACGUGCUUGUGGAAAAGAACUUGCACGACAUCUUUUGUCCUACCCUCCCGUGGCAGCGGGGUCCUAUUGAAAACUAAGGGAUAUUAAGGCCUCCUUUUAAUAAAGUACCGGACCAAAGCAUUAACACUUAGUGAAUACAUGAACUCGUCAAACUACGGUCAUCAUCGAGUGUGGUCCCGAUUAUUGUCACUUCGGGGUUGUCGGAUCAUAACACAUAAUAGGUGAAUAUAGACUUGCAAGAUAGGAUCAAGAACUCACAUAUAUUCAUGAAAACAUAAUAGGUUCAGAUCUGAAAUCAUGGCACUCAGGCCCUAGUGACAAGCAUUAAGCAUAGCAAAGUCAUAGCAACAUCAAUCUCAGAACAUAAUGGAUACUAGGGAUAAAACCCUAACAAAAUUAACUCGAUUACAUGGUAAAUCUCAUCCAACCCAUCACCGUCCAGCAAGCCUAUGAUAAACUUACCAGAGUUGUUCCAUGGUCUUUGUGGACAUGCACCUUGUAUACAACUCCAGAAAAAGCAUGCUUAGUGGAUAAGCUUCCAUAUGAGUUGACAAAUGAUCACCAACAGUAGUGCGAACAAACAGUACUCACCAUUUUAAAUCAAUUUCUUUAUGGGGACACAUCAAGCUUGGAAAAACAUGGGUAAGUACAAUUUCGUCCAAAUACAUCAUCUUGGGUAAAAGAAUCUUGUGUGCCGUGAAAAAAAAUACAUAACCAAAUUGAAGAUAUUUAGGCCCGUGAACAAAUAACCAGCUAAAUCCAAAGAAGGCCGGAAGCAAAUCUUCAAUAUUUAAGCAGGCCUAAAGUCGAAAAGAAAUAACGUACAUAAGGGGAAGAUAAAAUGACAACAUUUGGCAAAGUUUAUGGAGAUUACUAAUAUAGGCAUCAUCUAUAGAGAAAUAAAUGGAUAGAUCACAAGAGUAAUCGUAGCAUCAGGCACUCGAUCUAGACCUCGUUGCUGUAACCGCAAUUAGGAGGGCCGUUCAUUUAUUAAAAUUUCUGCCGUGUGUCGGGGACUAGUCCUUGUUGGUUACCUUUUGAGCAAUUAGAUAAAAUGGUACACUUUUCAUGAGAGUUUUGAUCCCAUUGUUUCACUUGAGAUACCUAUUGAUUGUGCCUCGCCUGAAUAUUUUUGGCGCAUUAGUGGAGGAAAUAUGCCCUAGAGGCAAUAAUAAAGUUGUUAUUUUAUAUUUCCUUAUUCAUGAUAAAGGUUUAUUAUUCAUGCUAGAAUUGUAUUGAUCGAAAACUUAAAUACAUGUGUGAAUACAUAAACAAAUACCGUGUCCCUAGUAAGCCUCUACUAGACUAGCUCGUUGAUCAAAGAUGGUUAAGGUUACCUAACCAUGGACAUGAGUUGUCAUUUGAUAACGGGAUCACAUCAUUAGGAGAAUGAUGUGAUGGACAAGACCCAUUCGUUAGCUUAGCAUAAUGAUCGUUCAGUUUUAUUGAUAUUGCUUUCUUCAUGUCAAAUGCAUAUUCCUUUGACUAUGGGAUUAUGCAACUCCCGGAUACCGGAAGAAUACCUUGUGUGCUAUCAAACAUCACAACGUAAAUGGAUGAUCAUAAAGAUGCUCUACAGGUAUCUCCAGAGGUAUUUGUUGAGUUGGCAUAGAUCGAGAUUAGGAUUUGUCACUCGAGUAUCGGAGAGGUAUCUCUGGGUCCUCUCAGUAAUACACAUCAUAAGCUUGCAAGAAAAUGACUAAGGAGUUGGUCACGAGGUGAUGUAUUAUGGAAUGAGUAAAGAGACGUGCCGGUAACGAGAUUGAACUAGGUAUGAAGAUACCGACGAUCGAAUCUCGGGCAAGUAACAUACCGAUGGAUAAAGGGAAUUACGUAUGUUGUCAUAACGGCUCAAACAAUAAAUAUAUUCGUAGAGUAUGGGCAUCCAGGUUCCACUAUUGGUUAUUGACCAGAGAGGUGUCUUGGUCAUGUCUACAUAGUUCUGAAACUCGUAGGGUCUGCACGCUUAACAUUCGUUGACGAUAUAGUAUUAUAUGAGUUAUGUGAUUUGAUGACCGAGUGUUGUUCGGAGUCCCGGAUGAGAUCAUAGACAUGACGAGGAGUCUCAAAAUGGUUGAGAGGUCAAGAUUCAUAUAUAAGACCAUAAUAUUCAGACACCGGAAGUUUUUCGGAGGGUGCCGGGUACUUAUCGGGUCACUGGAAAGGAGUUUCAGGCACCCCCGGCAAAGAUAUGGGCCUUAUGGGCAAAGAGAGAAAACGCACCAGCCAUAAGAGGCUGGUGCGCCCCCCCAUAGCAGGCCGGCCUAAGGAGGAGAAGGAAAAGCGGGAGGGAAAGGAAAGUGUGGAUUAGGAUUCCCACUUCCUUCCCUCUCCCCCUCUUUCCUUCCCCCUUGGGAAUACAUGGCAAGGGGGGUGCGGCCAGGGCACGUGCCCUAGGGCCGGCCGGCCACCUAUGUAGUGUGCCAGGCUGCCUCCCCUCCCCCUCCCACCAAUAUAUAUGUGGGUGGGGGGCGCCUAGCACACCCCAUAUUAAUUGUUAGCCGUGUGUAGCGCCCCCCUCCGCCGUUUACACCACCAGUCAUAUUUUCGUAGUGCUUAGGCAAAGCCCUGCGAAGAUCACACCAUCACCAUCACCAUGCCACCAUGCUGCCGGAACUCAUCUACUACCACGCCGUCUUGCUGGAUAAAGAAGGCGGAGGACGUCACCAAGCUGAACAUGUGCUGAACGCGGAGGUGCUGUACGUUCGGUACUAGAUCGGUUGGAUCAGAGCCAGGCCUAUGCGUAGAUGAUAUGCACAAGUAGAAGAGAAAGAGUUGUGGGUGGUGAUAGUCAUACUGCUUACCACCAAUGUUUUAUUUUGAUUCGGCGGUAUUGUGGGGUGAAGUGGCCCAGACUAACCUUACAUGUCCACGCACAUGAGACCGGUUCCACCGACUGACAUGCAACUAGUUUUGUAUAAAGGUGGCUGGCAGGUGUCUAUUUCUCCUACUUUAGUUGAAUCGAAUUUGACUACGACCGGUCCUUGAAGAAGGUUAAAACAGUAAACUUGAUGAAUCACCGUUGUGGUUUUUUCCGUAGGUAAGAACGGUUCUUGCUAGAAGCACGUAGCAGCCACGUAAAACUUGCAACAACAAAGUAGAGGACGUCUAACUUGUUUUUGCAGGGUAUGUUGUGAUGUGAUAUGGUCAAGACAUGAUGUGCUAUACGCUAUUGUAUGAGAUGAUCAUGUUUUGUAAUUUAUCGGCAACCGGCAGGAGCCUUAUGGUUGUCUCUUUAUUGUAUGAAAUGCAAGUGCCAUGUAAUUGCUUUACUUUAUCGCUAUGUGUUACCAAUAGUUGUAGAAGCAAUAGUUGGCGAGACGACCACGACGCGAUGAUGGAGAUCAAGGUGUCGAGCCGGUGACAAUGGAGAUCAUGACGAUGCUUUGGAGAUGGAGACCAAAAGCACAAGAUGAUGAUGGCCAUAUCAUAUCACAUAUUUUGAUUGCAUGUGAUGUGUAUCUUUUAUGCAUCUUAUUUUGCUUAGAACGAUGGUAGCAUUAUAAGAUGAUCCCUUCACUAAAUUCAAUAUAUAAGUGUGAUAACCCACAAGUAUAGGGGAUCGCAACAGUUUUCGAGGGUAGAGUAUUCAACCCAAAUUUAUUGAUUCAAAACAAGGGGAGCCAAAGAAUAUUCUUAAGUAUUAGCAGUUGAGUUGUCAAUUCAACCACACCUGGAUAACAUAAUAUCUACAGCAAAGUAUUUAGUAGCAAAGUAGUAUGGAAGUAACGGUAAUAGUAGCAGUUUUGUAGUAAUUGUAACAGUGUCAACGGUAAAACAACGAAGCAAAGAACAAUAUGUGAAAAGCUCGUAGGCAUUGGAUCAGUGAUGGAUAAUUAUGUCGGAUGCGAUUCGUCAUGUAAUAGUUAUAACAUAGGGUGACUCGGAACUAGCUCCAGUUCAUCAAUGUAAUGUAGGCAUGUAUUCCGAAUAUAGUCAUACGUGCUUAUGGAAAAGAACUUACAUGACAUCUUUUGUCCUACCCUCCCGUGGCAGCGGGGUCCUAUUGAAAACUAAGGGAUAUUAAGGCCUCCUUUUAAUAAAGUACCGGACCAAAGCAUUAACACUUAGUGAAUACAUGAACUCCUCAAACUACGGUCAUCAUCGAGAGUGGUCCCGAUUAUUGUCACUUCGGGGUUGUCGGAUCAUAACACAUAAUAGGUGAAUAUAGACUUGCAAGAUAGGAUCAAGAACUCACAUAUAUUCAUGCAAACAUAAUAGGUUCAGAUCUGAAAUCAUGGCACUCGGGCCCUAGUGACAAGCAUUAAGCAUAGCAAAGUCAUAGCAACAUCAAUCUCAGAACAUAGUGGAUACUAGGGAUAAAACCUAACAAAACUAACUCGAUUACAUGGUAAAUCUCAUCCAACCCAUCACCGUCCAGCAAGCCUAUGAUAAACUUACCAGAGUUGUUCCAUGGUCUUUGUAGACAUGCACCUUGUAUACAACUCCAAAAAAAGCAUGCUUAGUGGAUAAGCUUCCAUAUGAGUUGACAAAUGAUCACCAACAGUAGUGCGAACAAACAGUACUCACCAGUUUAAUUCAAUUUAUUUAUGGGAACACAUCAAGCUUGGAAAAACUUGGGUAAGUCCAAUUUCAUCCAAAUACAUCAUCUUGGGUAAAAGAAUCUUGUGUGCCGUGAAAAAAAAUCAUAACCAAAUUGAAGAUAUUUAGGCCCGUGAACAAAUAACCAGCUAAAUCCAAAGAAGGCCGGAAGCAAAUCUUCAAUAUUUAAGCAGGCCUAAAGUCGAAAAGAAAUAACGUACAUAAGGGGAAGAUAAAAUGACAACAUUUCGCAAAGUUUACGAAGAUUACUAAUAUAGGCAUCAUCUAUAGAGAAAUAAAUGGAUAGAUCACAAGAGUAAUCGUAGCAUCGGGCACUCGAUCUAGACCUUGUUGCUGUAACCGCAAUUAGAAGAGUCGUUCAUUUAUUAAAUUUCUGCCGAGUGUCGGGGACUAGUCCUUGUUGGUUAUCUUUUGAGGAAUUAGAUAAAAUGGUACACUUUUCAUGAGAGUUUUGAUCCCAUUGUUUCACUUGAGAUACCUAUUGAUUGUGCCUCGCCUGAAUAUUUUUGGCGCAUUAGUGGAGGAAAUAUGCCCUAGAGGCAAUAAUAAAGUUGUUAUUUUAUAUUUCCUUAUUCAUGAUAAAGGUUUAUUAUUCAUGCUAGAAUUGUAUUGAUCGAAAACUUAAAUACAUGUGUGAAUACAUAAACAAAUACCGUGUCCCUAGUAAGCCUCUACUAGACUAGCUCAUUGAUCAAAGAUGGUUAAGGUUUCCUAACCAUGGACAUGAGUUGUCAUUUGAUAACGGGAUCACAUCAUUAGGAGAAUGAUGUGAUGGACAAGACCCAUCCGUUAGCUUAGCAUAAUGAUCGUUCAGUUUUAUUGAUAUUGCUUUCUUCAUGUCAAAUGCAUAUUCCUUUGACUAUGAGAUUAUGCAACUCUCGGAUACCGGAGGAAUACCUUGUGUACUAUCAAACAUCACAACGUAAAUGGAUGAUCAUAAAGAUGCUCUACAGGUAUCUCCGGAGGUAUUUGUUGAGUUGGCAUAGAUCGAGAUUAGGAUUUGUCACUCGAGUAUCGGAGAGGUAUCUCUGGGCCCUCUCGGUAAUACACAUCAUAAGCUUGCAAGCAAAUGACUAAGGAGUUGGUCACGAGGUGAUGUAUUAUGGAAUGAGUAAAGAGACGUGCCGGUAACGAGAUUGAACUAGGUAUGAAGAUACCGACGAUCGAAUCUCGGGCAAGUAACAUACCGAUGGAUAAAGGGAAUUACGUAUGUUGUCAUAACGGCUCAAACAAUAAAUAUGUUCGUAGAAUAUGGGCAUCCAGGUUCCGCUAUUGGUUAUUGACCGAAGAGGUGUCUUGGUCAUGUCUACAUAGUUCUCGAACUCGUAGGGUCUCCACGCUUAACAUUCGUUGAUGGUAUAGUAUUAUAUGAGUUAUGUGAUUUGAUGACCGAAUGUUGUUCGGAGUCCCGGGUGAGAUCACAGACAUGACGAGGAGUCUUGAAAUGGUCGAGAGGUCAAGAUUCAUAUAUAAGACGAUAGUAUUCAGACACCGAAGGUGUUUCGGAGGGUGCCGGGUACUUAUCGGGUCACCGGAAAGGAGUUUCGGGCACCUCCGGCAAAGAUAUGGGCCUUAUGGGCAAAGAGAGAAAACGCCACCAGCCAUAAGAGGCUGGUGCCCCCCCCCCCAAGUAGGCCGGCCUAAGGAGGAGAAGGAAAAGGGGGAGGGAAAGGAAAGUGUGGAUUAGGAUUCCCACUUCCUUCCCUCUCCCCCCUCUUUCCUUCCCCCUUCGGAAUACAUGGCAAGGGGGGCGCGGCCAAGGCACGAGCCCUAGGGCCGGCCGGCCACCUAUGUGGUGCGCCAGGCUGCCUCCCCUCCCCCUCCCACCUAUAUAUAUGUGGGAGGGGGGCGCCUAGCACACCCCAUAUUCAUUGUUAGCCGUGUGCAGCGCCCCCCUCCGCCGUUUACACCACCAGACAUAUUUUCGUAGUGCUUAGGCAAAGCCCUGCGGAGAUCACACCAUCACCGUCACCAUGCCACCAUGCUGCCGGAACUCAUCUACUACCUCGUCGUCUUGCUGGAUAAAGAAGGCGGAGGACGUCACCGAGUUGAACGUGUGCUGAACGCGGAGGUGCUGUACGUUCGGUACUAGAUCGGUUGGAUCAGAGCCAGGCCUAUGCGUAGAUGAUAUGCACGAGUAGAACACAAAGACUUGUGGGUGGUGAUAGUCAUACUGCUUACCACCAAUGUUUUAUUUUGAUUCGGCAGUAUUGUGGGGUGAAGCGGCCCAGACCAACCUUACAUGUCCAUGCACAUGACACCGGUUCCACCGACUGACAUGCAACUAGUUUUGUAUAAAGGUGGCUGACGGGUGUCUGUUUCUCCUACUUUAGUUGAAUGAAAUUUGACUACGACUGGUCCUUGAAGAAGGUUAAAACAGCAAACUUGAUGAAUCACCGUUGUGGUUUUUUCCCUAGGUAAGAACGGUUCUUGCUAGAAGCCCGUAGUAGCCACGUAAAACUUGCAACAACAAAGUAGAGGAUGUCUAACUUGUUUUUGCAGGGUAUGUUGUGAUGUGAUAUGGUCAAGACAUGAUGUGAUAUACGUUAUUGUAUGAGAUGAUCAUGUUUUAUAAUUUAUCGGCAACCGGCAGGAGCCUUAUGGUUGUCUCUUUAUUGUAUGAAGUGCAAGCGCCAUGUAAUUGCUUUACUUUAUGGCGAUGUGAACUAUGGGUAUUAAUCACAUGUCGAUGUGAACUAGAUUAUUGACUCUAGUGCAAGUGGGAGACUGAAGGAAAUAUGCCCUAGAGGCAAUAAUGAAGUUGUUAUUUUAUAUUUCCUUAUUCAUGAUAAAGGUUUAUUAUUCAUGCUAGAAUUGUAUUGAUCGGAAACUUAAAUACAUGUGUGAAUACAUUACAAAUACCGUGUCCCUAGUAAGCCUCUACUAGACUAGCUCGUUGAUCAAAGAUGGUUAAGGUUUUCCAACCAUGGACAUGAGUUGUCAUUUGAUAACGGGGUCACAUCAUUAGGGGAAUGAUGUGAUGGACAAGACCCAUCUGUUAGCUUAACAUAAUGAUCGUUCAGUUUUAUUGCUAUUGCUUUCUUCUUGUCAAAUACAUAUUCCUUUGAUUAUGAGAUUAUGCAACUCUCGGAUACCAAAGAAAUACCUUGUGUGCAAUCAAACGUCACAACGUAACUGGGUGAUCAUAAAGAUGCUCUAUAGGUAUCUCCGAAGGUGUUUUUUGAGUUGGCAUAGAUCGAGAUUAGGAUUUGUUACUCCGAGUAUCGGAGAGGUAUCUCUGGGCCCUCUCGGUAAUACACAUCAUAAGCUUGCAAGCAAAUGACUAAAGAGUUGGUCACGAGGUGAUGUAUUACAAACGAGUAAAGAGACUUGACGGUAAUGAGAUUGAACUAGGUAUGAAGAUACCGACAAUCAAAUCUCGGGCAAGUAACAUACCGAUGGACAACGGGAAUUACGUAUGUUGUCAUAACGGUUUGACCGAUAAAGAUCUUCGUAGAAUAUGUAGGAUCCAAUAUGGGCAUCCAGGUUCCGCUAUUGGUUAUUGACCGGAGAGGUGUCACGGUCAUGUCUACAUAGUUCUCUAACCCGUAUGGUCCGCAUGCUUAACGUUCGUUGACAAUAUAGUAUUAUAUGACUUAUGUGAUUUGGUGACCAAAUGUUGUUUGGAGUCCCGGAUGAGAUCACGAAAAUGACGAGGAGUCUCAAAAUGGUCGAGAGGGAAAGAUUCAAAUAUAGAACGAUAGUAUUCGGACACUGGAAGUGUUUUGGAGGGUGUCGGGUACUUAUCGGGUCACCGGAAAGGAGUUUUGGGCACCCCGGCAAAGAUAUGGGCCUUAUGGACCAAGAGAGGAAACACACCAGCCACAAGGGGCUGGUGCGCCCCCCAUAGCAGGCCGGCCUAAGGAGAAGAAGGAAAAGUGGGGAGGCAAAGGAAAGUGUUGAUUAGGAUUCCCACUUCGUUCCCUCCCCCCCCCCUCUUUCCUUCCCCCUUGGGAAUACAUGGCAAGGGGGGGCGAGGGCAGGAGCCCUAGGGCCGACCGGCCACCUAUGUGGUGCGACAGACUGCCUCCCCUCCCCCUCCCACCUAUAUAUAUGUGGGAGGGGACGCCUAGCACACCCCGGAUCAAUUGUUAGCCGUGUGCGACGCCCCCCUCCACUGUUUACACCCUCGGUCAUAUUUUCGUAGUGCUUAGGGGAAGCCCUGCGGAGAUCACAUCACCAUCACCGUCACCACGCUAUCAUGCUGCCGGAACUCAUGUACUACCUCGCCGUCUUGCUGGAUCAAGAAGGCGGAGGACGUCACCGAGAUGAAUGUGUGCUAAACGCGGAGGUGUCGUACGUUCGGUACUAGAUCGGUUGGAUCGUGAAGAAAGUUCGACUACAUCAACUGUGUUGUGAAACGCUUCCGCUUAUGAUUUACGAGGGUACGUAGACACACUCUUCCACUCGUUGCUAUGCAUCUCCAUAGAUAGAUCAUUGCGCGUGUGUAGAUUUUUUUUGUUUUCCAUGCAAUGUUUCCCAACAAUUAGUCCAUUUCCACGCGUAUAGCACCUAGCCGAAGAAGACGGGGAGGCCAUGGCCGGUCGCGGCAUCCUCGGUGAGGGUGAGCCAGAACCGACCUAGAGUCGUGACGUCACAUGAGGUGGCUAGGAAGGGGGUCACUCGAGCAGGGCAAGAUGGCCGACGGCAUGUCCUAGAAGUUAGGUCGGGGUCGGAGGGUGGCUUGAUGGCGGCGAAAAGUAAGAAGAUGUAAUGAUACAACAUUUAUUCCAUCCAAGUGACUAUAUUCACUCCAAAUUUUUUCCAGCAAACAUUCACCCUAGGACGCGAACCGUCUUCGAUAGGCUUAGCGUUGAGUGCUUCAUUUGUACUCCCUCUUCAAGCAAGGCGCGGUAAUCGUGUAUUAUUAUUCUUCUUUACUUUUUAUGUCUUCUUUUCAUUCUUUUUUUCUUCCUUUUCCUGAUAUUUUAUCAUUCUACUUUCUAUUAUAUGUUUUUUCAUUCAUUUUUAUUUUUCUUUGUUUUUUGUUUAACUUUCUAAAAAAUAUGUUAUCAUUUUUCUGAAAUUACAUAAAGAUAUAUUAUAACAUGGAUAAGAAAAUAUUCUCAGAAAUAUGAAACUAUUAAAAAUAAAUUGUACUUAUUGUGUAUACAUAAAUAUUUAAAACAUAUGAUAUGGACAUCUUCUUUCAUAUUUUAGAGAGAGAUGUGAACAUGUUUUAUUUUUCAACAUACAAAUACUUUUCAUCACUAAUGUACAACAUCUUGGUUUUUUUUCUUUAAAUGUAAAAAUAGUGGGAGCUAAAGAGCCGCACCACUGAACAGCCCAUUAUAAAUUUAAUGGGGGCGCCUAUGUCUCCCUUGAUGCAAGUCAAUAGAAGUCUCGCCUCAAGGAGCCGCAACAUUUGCCUGGCCCACACGGAACAAAGAACUCCAUUUUUUAUUUCACAUAUUUUAUUUUAUUUGCUUUCACUUGUACUCCGAAAUAUUCUGAAUAUAUCUAUUAAUAAAAUUACUUUAUGUACAAAGUUGAAGAAUGUUAAUCUUUCAUUUGAAAUAUGUUAAAUAUGUAUAGAAAAUGUUUAUAAUCUAUUUGAAAAAUGUUCAAUGUUUACGAAAAAAGUAUAUGUCAAAAAUAAAUGUUUAAAAAAAUGUCAAUCAAUUAUUUGGAAAAUGUGAAAGGUUUAUUUGACAAAUGUUCUUGAUGUAUAAACAUGUACCGUUAAUGGGAAAAUUAGACAUAUAAAUAUAUGUCAAAGAAAUGUUAAUAAUGUAUUUACGAAAGUUAAACUUGUAUAUACAAAAUGUUCAAGAUGUAUAAAGGAAUGUACAAUGUGUAUGAAAAACAUAGACAUCAAAAAAAUAUAAUUUGCGAAAAUGUUAAACAUGUACUGUAUUUGGAAAAGGUUGACAUGAAAAGAAAGAAUAGCAAAAUGCCUAGUAAAAACAGAGAAAGAAAAGGAAAACAAAGGAAGAAAGUAAAAAAAACAUGAAAAAACGAAGAAAACUUUGAAAAAAUGAAGAAAAUCAUGAAAAAAAAUCUGAAAACUGGAAAACCUCAGUGAAGAGAAAAAAAGUAAAAUGAAAAAGAAAGAAAACAAAAAGGAAAAAAGUAAAGAGAAAACAAAACUCAUCAACGACCUAAGCAAUUAGGCCGGCGCAAUAUGUUGGCACCUUCAGGCGAGACGGAUGAUAGACUUGCUAUAAGCGAGAUAUAGCUUUCCCGGUCAAUGGUGACCGGGAGCUUCUAAGGUGUGCCUUAAGCGCCACUUGGAGGAACAGGCAUUGUCGCAUCCCUGCUCGUGGGCCGGCCCAUUAGUGCAUGGUUAAUAGCACAAUCAACCAUUGGCUAUAUGAUGUUGCCAUGUCAUCUAUAACCAAACCUAUAGCCAGCAAAUACAAUAGUUGCAUGUAAAAAUAUACUACUUUGUUGAUAGAUGGCCCAACUCACUUCCUCACAAAGUGUCUAGAAGCGCGGGAUGCAGUGGGCUCUUUCAGUAGCCUGCUUACGUCUCGUCCAACUCCUCAAAAGUAUAAUAUUUAUAGCCUUAGAGCUCGCCUACAUCAUUUAUUGUACUUCUCUUAGAAGGUGCGCUCGAUCGCUUGACCUGUCCCCCCCCUACACACACACACCCCGGUUGGUCGAUCAUAUUUUGACUGGUCACAGUUGACCUGUUGAAUGGUCAACCGUUGACUUUUAAAAAAAAUAGAAAAAAAACUCAAAAAAGUUAGUGACUUCAGAAAUUCACAGAUUUUGAGGAAAAAAUAUUGCAAACUUAAAAAAAGUUCACAAUUUUGAAAAAAAAUCAUCGAACUUGAAAAAAAUCACAAAAAAUUGAAAAAAUAAGUUCAUGGAAUUUUUUAAAAAUGCUUAUCAAUUUAAAAAAAUUCGAGUAGACAUGAAUUUCAACAGUGAUACGAUGUAGGAUACAAAACACACUCCACAACUUCGUCCAGACCGUGUGUUCCAGCCAUCCAUUCGGCCACACGUGAAAGAAGUCCAAAAACAGAUCGAGUAAGCAAACAAUCAGCAGAAGGACCAAUGGGCUCGAAAAGAAAAGCUAGCCACGCUGGCGAGUAGAUCGAAGCUACCUGAAGAUGGAAGGCCAAGGUUUCGCAGACAUGGCUACCCCGGCGUGCUCGCAGACAUGGCAUGCCCUUGGGAGCGUUGUGGCGUAUACGAGACAAGGCAAGGACGCCGGAGCCUGCAGUGGUGGGAGCGUUGUGGCGUCGCUCGCAAAUCAGCGGGCUCGACGGCGUCAUGCACGGAACAUGAGGCCGGGCCUAAUCGUUUGCAUUGGCAACUAUAGACCCAUGUCGUUCGUGGACACAACGGCAGCCUGUGCGCGCGCACGUGUAUGCGUGCAUGCGUGCGUGCGUGCAGAGGCGGAACCAAGAUUUCUUAAAGCCUAGGGCUAAAACUAUGCAGUUAUAAAAACAUCAAAUAGCACACAUAUCAAUGGAUGCUAGAAGUUCUUCACGAAUUCACAUUAAGAAUAAAAUAUGAAUUCAUUAUUACCCCAAGAGUAAUUUCGAUAAACAUGUCUUCAAUUUAGCAAAGUGCGUCAUUUCAAAUGUCGGUACCAAAUUAAUGAAGAAGUGCUUAAUUUAAAGGUCGGUUUCAUCACCCGCAAUAGUAGAAGGACCUGGAGUUGUAAACAUAAACUCGAGUAUUAAAAUCAAGAUUUGGACAUAGACCAAGUCAAUUGUUUAUAAAAAAAAGUUCAAAACAAGAACAAAUUAUACCAUUACAACGAAGUGUACAAGGUAGUAGCCCCUUGCGAUUCUUCACUUUUUGAUAGCAUGUUUUUUGUUCCAGUUUUUUUCAAAUAUCUCUACUCCUAAUGUCUCAGUUGGUAGGUCGCGUUUCAGGUUUUAUUUUUGUCCCACCAAUUCUGGUUUAUUUUCGUCCUCAGUCCCACCUCAUACAUAACAGCGAUCCCCUACUGGACCCGUGAAGCACCCACGAAGUCCAGGCGGUUGAUCCAGGAAAAAACGUGUGAAAAAAUCUACGAAAGAAAACCUACGAAAAUUAACCAGACGCUCGUACCAGCGAUUCCUCUUGCCCCCGCCGCUCGCACGAACCAGGAGCGAGGCCCCCUCGCGCAAAAAAGCCCGGCUAGGGUUCCAGCCACCGCCGCCUCCCUGCCACAUUUGCUCCCUCUCUUCGCUGAUCCACCUACGACACGCUUUUCUUCUUCGAUGCGGCCUAACCGCGUCCCGUUCGCCCGCCCGGCCACCUGCCCGUGAGGGUUUCCGCGGCACCGCCGCCGCCGGCUGCCAUUCACGCCCACGCCGAGGGAAAGGCCGUAGUCAAGCCGUGGGGCGGGGGCAUCGGCGACGGGGCUGAUGCGACGGACCUCCAUGCGCCCUCCAAACCGAAUGCCCUCUCGUCCACGUCUACAUCUGUCCGUUUAUCUCCUCUGAGUCAGAGUGCCCUCCGUCAGAACUUUUUGUCAGCAUGGCGGCCGGUGGCAGCGGCCAUCUACGAUCUGUUCGUGCGUUGCCCUGAUGGAGGCGGUCGUGCUCCAUAGCAAGGUCAGGAUUGGAUCAGUUCGUUUGAGUUCCUCUUGUUCUCUUCUCUAAAGGCAAUCCACUUAUUCGUAGUUUAUAUACUUUAUACUUCGAUCAGUCCAGAAUUGGAUAAACAUGUUCAUGUACAUGCAUUAGAAAAAGGUUUCUGCUCAGAGCUACUACAGUGUGCCAUCAAAGAAAAAGAUUUGUAUUUCAUCCCAAAGAACAAGAGAAUAACAGAUUAGAUAAGCAUGUUCAGUACGUGCAUUAGAGUGAUUCUAUUGAUAAUUUCUUUUGUUGCAGGCAGAAAGGGAAACCAACUUCAACUUUGCGAGGGUAAUCUUCUAGAAUCCUUGUCUUAGUCUAAUCAAUUUUUUUCCUCAGAUUUGUGCAGGCCGGGAUGUUUAACUUUAGAUUUGUGCUCCAAAGUCACAUGGAUUUUUUUUCAAGAAAUUGGAAUUAUUAUGCCGGAAUGUGAUCUCACAAACAUACAUCCAUCCUCCCAGAAACACACACAUGACGUACCCACUUCCUUUUGGAUUUACCAGUAUCACUAUGUUGCAUCUGGAGUACAAAACUUCAAAUAAUUCUUUCUUGGGUCAAACUAUGAGCAGAGAGCAAAUCAUUUAUAAAGAAACAAAAAAUUGGGUCUGCUAUCAGAUGGUACAUUUAUUUCAACACAAAAUGCAAGAAAGCUUCACGGUCUCAUGAAGAGGGCAUGCUUUUGAAUUAAUUCCGACUGAUCUGAAAUUCACUUAAAUUUUGUUGUUGAUUGAUCUGCAGUUAUUUUUUAUUUGUAGAGAAGUUCCGCAUUUGAGAAGCCGGAGAAGAGUAUCUCACUAAGUACAGAUUCGAGGUAGGGAUAUCAUUUUCUCUCCAAUCCAUUUAUCAUGGGAUCAUUUCCCAGAAAAAGACAAACAUGAAGGUAGCUGUGGACAUACUAUAUUUGUUUACUUCUUCUACCCACAAGUUUCAUGUACUGGACAACAUAUUACACAUAUCUUGUGUUAUGAAAGAUAAUAGCUGGUGAUUGAUAUGGCAAGUGUCUACGAGCUGCCUAAUAUAGCAUGCAUUUAACAGUUCUUUCGCAUUCAUAUCUCUGCCUUUUCAUAAUUCCAUGGAUUUUUACUAUAUUGUGUAUCCUAGUGACUUUGCCAACUUGCUGACAUGGGGUCUCGUUCAGAGCACAAGCUUCACCUGAAUAACCUUCUUUCAGUUAGUAAAACACUCAGCAAAGGUAAUUGGGCCUCCCUUAAUUUAUCUACCAUCUUGCUUGGUUUGCGCUGCUUCCUGUGUCUUAGAUUCAACCUCUCCAAAAAUGGGUGAAGUGUCAACCGUAUUCUGUUGAUAAUUUUAUGAGAACACGUUUGUCUAAAAUGAUUUUUAUUCCCCAUAAGAACGCACGGGCAGUUCUUAAAGCUGAAAAACUGCAGCUUUCAUGUAGCAUCUUAUGUGUCUCACUUCUCUCGAAUAUGCUGAAUAGGUUGGUGCAUCUCACCACCCACAAGCACACACAAAGGAUGCAUCUGCACUGAAGUGAAUAAAGAAUAUCAACUUAUUUCAUUGCUUUUCUCCGCAAUAAAUGCUAUUUAUUCUACUACUAAUAUACAUGUGGUCUUCUAGAUGUGUUUGCUUUCUACAAUUGUGUGCACGGUUUGUAAUUAUUAAAUUCAAGAUUUCUUCUUUUCAAAGUGAUAGAGCAUAUACCUUUUUCAACCGGGCGAGAGGGAGCGAGAGAGAGAUCGUCACGUACAUAUUGUGUCCCACUCCAAUUUUGCUCACCAAUGUGUUCCUCCACGCUGCAGCAGCCGACUCCGUCGAUGUCGUGCUUGUUUACCAGCCAUGCAUUCCAGACAAGUUGAAUGCCGGUGGCAACAGGCAUUCAACGGCACCCUCGUCGGCGCUCUACUCACAGGACCCCGCCUCCCAUGCUGGACCUCCUUGCCGCCCGCACAACGCUAUUACUCCACGCAUGCAUGGCCAAACUUCCUCAUAGGGGUGCGUAGGUGUGUCGUUCCUGCAGACAUAUUUUUUGGUGCUACGUCGACAUGCUAGGCCACGCUUCAUCUUCGACUGGCUCAACCUCCACGGCACGGCGUAGCCACGCAGGCUACAGUCCGCCCAAGCGCCAGGAUGUGCAAGGAGUUCUGGGGCGUGUGUACGCCGACUAAUGUGACUUUCUGCUUUACUCAACGAGCAAUCCUAGGGAUUUCUUUUUUUUUUGGAAUUCAUUAUACAUUCUGUUUUUUAUUUAAUUUUAGGGCCUCAUGUGGAUAUAUCUGUUGCAGAUUGGUGAAGAUAAAGCUGCCGAUGUGGUGCUCACUGCUCACCUCGGAUGCAAUUCAAAAUUAUGUUGAUUUAUGUUCCUCUGUGUUACAGUUUAUUCUGGUUUUUAGAAAUACUAAUAUUUUUUCAGCAAGGACAAUGACUAUUCUUAUUUUGACAUAGAGUGUGGUAGAUGAACAUGUCCUCAUUUCAGGUUGAAGGCAUUCCAAAUUCACUUAUAAUAGAAGCUCAAUAAUGCACUUAGUCUACCACCAAAUUCAAAUUAUUGAAAGAUCAAUCCAACAUUAAUUUGCCUCAGAUACAGUCUGGUGCAUUUUCCUUAACAUGACACUCUUUUUAGAGUGAUAACCUUCAUUUCAGGUUGACGGCAUUCCAAAGAAACUUCAANNNNNNNNNNNNNNNNNNNNNNNNNNNNNNNNNNNNNNNNNNNNNNNNNNNNNNNNNNNNNNNNNNNNNNNNNNNNNNNNNNNNNNNNNNNNNNNNNNNNNNNNNNNNNNNNNNNNNNNNNNNNNNNNNNNNNNNNNNNNNNNNNNNNNNNNNNNNNNNNNNNNNNNNNNNNNNNNNNNNNNNNNNNNNNNNNNNNNNNNNNNNNNNNNNNNNNNNNNNNNNNNNNNNNNNNNNNNNNNNNNNNNNNNNNNNNNNNNNNNNNNNNNNNNNNNNNNNNNNNNNNNNNNNNNNNNNNNNNNNNNNNNNNNNNNNNNNNNNNNNNNNNNNNNNNNNNNNNNNNNNNNNNNNNNNNNNNNNNNNNNNNNNNNNNNNNNNNNNNNNNNNNNNNNNNNNNNNNNNNNNNNNNNNNNNNNNNNNNNNNNNNNNNNNNNNNNNNNNNNNNNNNNNNNNNNNNNNNNNNNNNNNNNNNNNNNNNNNNNNNNNNNNNNNNNNNNNNNNNNNNNNNNNNNNNNNNNNNNNNNNNNNNNNNNNNNNNNNNNNNNNNNNNNNNNNNNNNNNNNNNNNNNNNNNNNNNNNNNNNNNNNNNNNNNNNNNNNNNNNNNNNNNNNNNNNNNNNNNNNNNNNNNNNNNNNNNNNNNNNNNNNNNNNNNNNNNNNNNNNNNNNNNNNNNNNNNNNNNNNNNNNNNNNNNNNNNNNNNNNNNNNNNNNNNNNNNNNNNNNNNNNNNNNNNNNAGAGAGAGGGAGGGGGAGGGAGGGAGGGACUAUGAGUAGAGAGCAAAUCAUUUAUAAAGAAACAAAAAAAUUGGUCUGCUAUCAGAUGGUACAUUUAUUUCAACACAAAAUGCAAGAAAGCUUCACGGUCUCUUGAAGAGGGCAUGCUUUUGAAUUAAUUCCGACUGAUCUGAAAUUCACUUAAAUUUUGUUGUUGAUUGAUCUGCAGUUAUUUUUUAUUUGUAGAGAAGUUCCGCAUUUGAGAAGCCGGAGAAGAGUAUCUCACUAAGUACAGAUUCGAGGUAGGGAUAUCAUUUUCUCUCCAAUCCAUUUAUCAUGGGAUCAUUUCCCAGAAAAAGACAAACAUGAAGGUAGCUGUGGCCAGACUAUAUUUGUUUACUUCUUCUACCCACAAGUUUCAUGUACUGGACAACAUAUUACACAUAUCUUGUGUUAUGAAAGAUAAUAGCUGGUGAUUGAUAUGGCAAGUGUCUACGAGCUGCCUAAUAUAGCAUGCAUUUAACAGUUCUUUCGCAUUCAUAUCUCUGCCUUUUCAUAAUUCCAUGGAUUUUUACUAUAUUGUGUAUCCCAGUGACUUUGCCAACUUGCUGACAUGGGGUCUCGUUCAGAGCACAAGCUUCACCCGAAUAACCUUCUUUCAGUUAGUAAAACACUCAGCAAAGGUAAUUGGGCCUCCCUUAAUUUAUCUACCAUCUUGCUUGGUUUGCACUGCUUCCUGUGUCUUAGAUUCAACCUCUCAAAAAAUGGGUGAAGUGUCAACCGUAUUCUGUUGAUAAUUUUAUGAGAACGCGUUUGUCUAAAAUGUUUUUUAUUCCCCAUAAGAACGCACGGGCAGUUCUUAAAGCUGAAAAACUACAGCUUUCAUGUAGCAUCUUAUGUGUCUCACUUCUCUCGAAUAUGCUGAAUAGGUUGGUGCAUCUCACCACCCACAAGCACACACAAAGGAUGCAUCUGCACUGAAGUGAAUAAAGAAUAUCAACUUAUUUCAUUGCUUUUGUCCGCAAUAAAUGCUAUUUAUUCUACUACUAAUAUACAUGUGGUCUUCUAGAUGUGUUUGCUUUCUACAACUGUGUGCACGGUUUGUAAUUAUUAAAUUCAAGAUUUCUUCUUUUCAAAGUGAUAGAGCAUAUACCUUUUUCAACCGGGCGAGACGGAGCGAGAGAGAGAUCGUCACGUACAUAUUGUGUCCCACUCCGAUUUUGCUCACCAAUGUGUUCCUCCACGCUGCAGCAGCCGACUCCGUCGAUGUCGUGCUCGUUUACCAGCCAUGCAUUCCAGACAAGUUGAAUGCCGGUGGCAACAGGCAUUCAACGGCACCCUCGUCGGCGCUCUACUCACAGGACCCCGCCUCCCACGCUGGACCUCCUUGCCGCCCGCACAACGCUAUUACUCCACGCACGCAUGGCCAAACUUCCUCAUAGGGGUGCGUAGGUGUGUCGUUCCUGCAGACCUAUUUUUUGGUGCUACGUCAACAUGCUAGGCCACGCUUCAUCUUCGACUGGCUCAACCUCCACGGCACGGUGUAGCCGCGCAGGCUACAGUCCGCCCAAGCGCCGGGAUGUGCAAGGCGUUCUGGGGCGUGUGUACGCCGACUAAUGUGACUUUCUGCUUUACUCAGCGAGCAAUCCUAGGGAUUUCUUUUUUUUUGGAAUUCAUUAUGCAUUCUGUUUUUUAUUUAAUUUUAGGGCCUCAUGUGGAUAUAUCUGUUGCAGAUUGGUGAAGAUAAAGCUGCCGAUGUGGUGCUCACUGCUCACCUCGGAUGCAAUUCAAAAUUAUGUUGAUUUAUGUUCCUCUGUGUUACAGUUUAUUCUGGUUUUAGAAAUACUAAUAUUUUUUCAGUAAGGACAGUGACUAUUCUUAUUUUGACAUAGAGUGUGGUAGAUGAACAUGUCUUCAUUUCAGGUUGAAGGCAUUCCAAGUUCACUUAUAAUAGAAGCUCAAUAAUGCACUUAGUCUACCACCAAAUUCAAAUUAUUGAAAGAUCAAUCCAACAUUAAUUUGCCUCAGAUACAGUCUGGUGCAUUUUCCUUAACAUGACACUCUUUUUAGAGUGAUAACCUUCAUUUCAGGUUGACGGCAUUCCAAAGAAACUUCAAGAUUGCAAGAUAAUGAAAGCGUAAUUAUAUUUUUUUUGCAGUGGCAAGGUGAAAUUGUAUAAAAGAGACAAAGAAGAGUUGCUUCAUGUCCUUAAUCAUCGGUGUGCACCAACGCAGAAAACUGGUGAUAACUUUCUCAUGAACUUUUAAUUUUCCCCUCCACUCACAAAUUGAUGGCUUUAUCUAAUUGUAAGACAGGCACAUUGCAAGGUGUAUUCAGACAUCGUUACUGAUAAAUGUAAAAAAUAUUUAUCCCUUGUAAUCGUGUUCUGAGCAUGAUCCUUCCAAGUACAUGUUUUAUGUUUCUAUUCGUAGCACUGUCAUAUGUUAGACCUAAUGCCUUGCUAAAUGUCCUAUGCAGGCCAUAAAAGAGAGGGGGGAGAGGGAGGGAGGGAGAGAGAGAGAGGGAGAGAGAGAGAGAGAGAGAGAGGGAAGGGGAGGGGGAGGGGGAGAGAGCAAAUCAUUUAUAAAGAAACAAAAAAAUUGGUCUGCUAUCAGAUGGUACAUUUAUUUCAACACAAAAUGCAAGAAAGCUUCACGGUCUCAUGAAGAGGGCAUGCUUUUGAAUUAAUUCCGACUGAUCUGAAAUUCACUUAAAUUUUGUUGUUGAUUGAUCUGCAGUUAUUUUUUAUUUGUAGAGAAGUUCCGCAUUUGAGAAGCCGGAGAAGAGUAUCUCACUAAGUACAGAUUCGAGGUAGGGAUAUCAUUUUCUCUCCAAUCCAUUUAUCAUGGGAUCAUUUCCCAGAAAAAGACAAACAUGAAGGUAGCUGUGGACAGAGUAUAUUUGUUUACUUCUUCUACCCACAAGUUUCAUGUACUGGACAACAUAUUACACAUAUCUUGUGUUAUGAAAGAUAAUAGCUGGUGAUUGAUAUGGCAAGUGUCUACGAGCUGCCUAAUAUAGCAUGCAUUUAACAGUUCUUUCGCAUUCAUAUCUCUGCCUUUUCAUAAUUCCAUGGAUUUUUACUAUAUUGUGUAUCCCAGUGACUUUGCCAACUUGCUGACAUGGGGUCUCGUUCAGAGCACAAGCUUCACCUGAAUAACCUUCUUUCAGUUAGUAAAACACUCAGCAAAGGUAAUUGGGCCUCCCUAAAUUUAUCUACCAUCUUGCUUGGUUUGCACUGCUUCCUGUGUCUUAGAUUCAACCUCUCCAAAAAUGGGUGAAGUGUCAACCGUAUUCUGUUGAUAAUUUUAUGAGAACACGUUUGUCUAAAAUGAUUUUUAUUCCCCAUAAGAACGCACGGGCAGUUCUUAAAGCUGAAAAACUGCAGCUUUCAUGUAGCAUCUUAUGUGUCUCACUUCUCUCGAAUAUGCUGAAUAGGUUGGUGCAUCUCACCACCCACAAGCACACACAAAGGAUGCAUCUGCACUGAAGUGAAUAAAGAAUAUCAACUUAUUUCAUUGCUUUUGUCCGCAAUAAAUGCUAUUUAUUCUACUACUAAUAUACAUGUGGUCUUCUAGAUGUGUUUGCUUUCUACAAUUGUGUGCACGGUUUGUAAUUAUUAAAUUCAAGAUUUCUUCUUUUCAAAGUGAUAGAGCAUAUACCUUUUUCAACCGGGCGAGAGGGAGCGAGAGAGAGAUCGUCACGUACAUAUUGUGUCCCACUCCAAUUUUGCUCACCAAUGUGUUCCUCCACGCUGCAGCAGCCGACUCCGUCGAUGUCGUGCUUGUUUACCAGCCAUGCAUUCCAGACAAGUUGAAUGCCGGUGGCAACAGGCAUUCAACGGCACCCUCGUCGGCGCUCUACUCACAGGACCCCGCCUCCCAUGCUGGACCUCCUUGCCGCCCGCACAACGCUAUUACUCCACGCACGCAUGGCCAAACUUCCUCAUAGGGGUGCNNNNNNNNNNNNNNNNNNNNNNNNNNNNNNNNNNNNNNNNNNNNNNNNNNNNNNNNNNNNNNNNNNNNNNNNNNNNNNNNNNNNNNNNNNNNNNNNNNNNNNNNNNNNNNNNNNNNNNNNNNNNNNNNNNNNNNNNNNNNNNNNNNNNNNNNNNNNNNNNNNNNNNNNNNNNNNNNNNNNNNNNNNNNNNNNNNNNNNNNNNNNNNNNNNNNNNNNNNNNNNNNNNNNNNNNNNNNNNNNNNNNNNNNNNNNNNNNNNNNNNNNNNNNNNNNNNNNNNNNNNNNNNNNNNNNNNNNNNNNNNNNNNNNNNNNNNNNNNNNNNNNNNNNNNNNNNNNNNNNNNNNNNNNNNNNNNNNNNNNNNNNNNNNNNNNNNNNNNNNNNNNNNNNNNNNNNNNNNNNNNNNNNNNNNNNNNNNNNNNNNNNNNNNNNNNNNNNNNNNNNNNNNNNNNNNNNNNNNNNNNNNNNNNNNNNNNNNNNNNNNNNNNNNNNNNNNNNNNNNNNNNNNNNNNNNNNNNNNNNNNNNNNNNNNNNNNNNNNNNNNNNNNNNNNNNNNNNNNNNNNNNNNNNNNNNNNNNNNNNNNNNNNNNNNNNNNNNNNNNNNNNNNNNNNNNNNNNNNNNNNNNNNNNNNNNNNNNNNNNNNNNNNNNNNNNNNNNNNNNNNNNNNNNNNNNNNNNNNNNNNNNNNNNNNNNNNNNNNNNNNNNNNNNNNNNNNNNNNNNNNNNNNNNNNNNNNNNNNNNNNNNNNNNNNNNNNNNNNNNNNNNNNNNNNNNNNNNNNNNNNNNNNNNNNNNNNNNNNNNNNNNNNNNNNNNNNNNNNNNNNNNNNNNNNNNNNNNNNNNNNNNNNNNNNNNNNNNNNNNNNNNNNNNNNNNNNNNNNNNNNNNNNNNNNNNNNNNNNNNNNNNNNNNNNNNNNNNNNNNNNNNNNNNNNNNNNNNNNNNNNNNNNNNNNNNNNNNNNNNNNNNNNNNNNNNNNNNNNNNNNNNNNNNNNNNNNNNNNNNNNNNNNNNNNNNNNNNNNNNNNNNNNNNNNNNNNNNNNNNNNNNNNNNNNNNNNNNNNNNNNNNNNNNNNNNNNNNNNNNNNNNNNNNNNNNNNNNNNNNNNNNNNNNNNNNNNNNNNNNNNNNNNNNNNNNNNNNNNNNNNNNNNNNNNNNNNNNNNNNNNNNNNNNNNNNNNNNNNNNNNNNNNNNNNNNNNNNNNNNNNNNNNNNNNNNNNNNNNNNNNNNNNNNNNNNNNNNNNNNNNNNNNNNNNNNNNNNNNNNNNNNNNNNNNNNNNNNNNNNNNNNNNNNNNNNNNNNNNNNNNNNNNNNNNNNNNNNNNNNNNNNNNNNNNNNNNNNNNNNNNNNNNNNNNNNNNNNNNNNNNNNNNNNNNNNNNNNNNNNNNNNNNNNNNNNNNNNNNNNNNNNNNNNNNNNNNNNNNNNNNNNNNNNNNNNNNNNNNNNNNNNNNNNNNNNNNNNNNNNNNNNNNNNNNNNNNNNNNNNNNNNNNNNNNNNNNNNNNNNNNNNNNNNNNNNNNNNNNNNNNNNNNNNNNNNNNNNNNNNNNNNNNNNNNNNNNNNNNNNNNNNNNNNNNNNNNNNNNNNNNNNNNNNNNNNNNNNNNNNNNNNNNNNNNNNNNNNNNNNNNNNNNNNNNNNNNNNNNNNNNNNNNNNNNNNNNNNNNNNNNNNNNNNNNNNNNNNNNNNNNNNNNNNNNNNNNNNNNNNNNNNNNNNNNNNNNNNNNNNNNNNNNNNNNNNNNNNNNNNNNNNNNNNNAUUUUGCUCACCAAUGUGUUCCUCCACGCUGCAGCAGCCGACUCCGUCGAUGUCGUGCUCGUUUACCAGCCAUGCAUUCCAGACAAGUUGAAUGCCGGUGGCAACAGGCAUUCAACGGCACCCUCGUCGGCGCUCUACUCACAGGACCCCGCCUCCCACGCUGGACCUCCUUGCCGCCCGCACAACGCUAUUACUCCACGCACGCAUGGCCAAACUUCCUCAUAGGGGUGCGUAGGUGUGUCGUUCCUGCAGACCUAUUUUUUGGUGCUACGUCAACAUGCUAGGCCACGCUUCAUCUUCGACUGGCUCAACCUCCACGGCACGGUGUAGCCGCGCAGGCUACAGUCCGCCCAAGCGCCGGGAUGUGCAAGGCGUUCUGGGGCGUGUGUACGCCGACUAAUGUGACUUUCUGCUUUACUCAGCGAGCAAUCCUAGGGAUUUCUUUUUUUUUUGGAAUUCAUUAUGCAUUCUGUUUUUUAUUUAAUUUUAGGGCCUCAUGUGGAUAUAUCUGUUGCAGAUUGGUGAAGAUAAAGCUGCCGAUGUGGUGCUCACUGCUCACCUCGGAUGCAAUUCAAAAUUAUGUUGAUUUAUGUUCCUCUGUGUUACAGUUUAUUCUGGUUUUAGAAAUACUAAUAUUUUUUCAGUAAGGACAGUGACUAUUCUUAUUUUGACAUAGAGUGUGGUAGAUGAACAUGUCUUCAUUUCAGGUUGAAGGCAUUCCAAGUUCACUUAUAAUAGAAGCUCAAUAAUGCACUUAGUCUACCACCAAAUUCAAAUUAUUGAAAGAUCAAUCCAACAUUAAUUUGCCUCAGAUACAGUCUGGUGCAUUUUCCUUAACAUGACACUCUUUUUAGAGUGAUAACCUUCAUUUCAGGUUGACGGCAUUCCAAAGAAACUUCAAGAUUGCAAGAUAAUGAAAGCGUAAUUAUAUUUUUUUUGCAGUGGCAAGGUGAAAUUGUAUAAAAGAGACAAAGAAGAGUUGCUUCAUGUCCUUAAUCAUCGGUGUGCACCAACGCAGAAAACUGGUGAUAACUUUCUCAUGAACUUUUAAUUUUCCCCUCCACUCACAAAUUGAUGGCUUUAUCUAAUUGUAAGACAGGCACAUUGCAAGGUGUAUUCAGACAUCAUUACUGAUAAAUGUAAAAAAUAUUUAUCCCUUGUAUUCGUGUUCUGAGCAUGAUCCUUCCAAGUACAUGUUUUAUGUUUCUAUUCGUAGCACUGUCAUAUGUUACACCUAAUGCCUUGCUAAAUGUCCUAUGCAGGCCAUAAAAGAGAGGGGGGAGAGGGAGGGAGGGAGAGAGAGAGAGGGAGAGAGAGAGAGAGAGAGAGAGAGGGAAGGGGAGGGGGAGGGGGAGAGAGCAAAUCAUUUAUAAAGAAACAAAAAAAUUGGUCUCCUAUCAGAUGGUACAUUUAUUUCAACACAAAAUGCAAGAAAGCUUCACGGUCUCAUGAAGAGGGCAUGCUUUUGAAUUAAUUCCGACUGAUCUGAAAUUCACUUAAAUUUUGUUGUUGAUUGAUCUGCAGUUAUUUUUUAUUUGUAGAGAAGUUCCGCAUUUGAGAAGCCGGAGAAGAGUAUCUCACUAAGUACAGAUUCGAGGUAGGGAUAUCAUUUUCUCUCCAAUCCAUUUAUCAUGGGAUCAUUUCCCAGAAAAAGACAAACAUGAAGGUAGCUGUGGACAGACUAUAUUUGUUUACUUCUUCUACCCACAAGUUUCAUGUACUGGACAACAUAUUACACAUAUCUUGUGUUAUGAAAGAUAAUAGCUGGUGAUUGAUAUGGCAAGUGUCUACGAGCUGCCUAAUAUAGCAUGCAUUUAACAGUUCUUUCGCAUUCAUAUCUCUGCCUUUUCAUAAUUCCAUGGAUUUUUACUAUAUUGUGUAUCCCAGUGACUUUGCCAACUUGCUGACAUGGGGUCUCGUUCAGAGCACAAGCUUCACCUGAAUAACCUUCUUUCAGUUAGUAAAACACUCAGCAAAGGUAAUUGGGCCUCCCUUAAUUUAUCUACCAUCUUGCUUGGUUUGCACUGCUUCCUGUGUCUUAGAUUCAACCUCUCCAAAAAUGGGUGAAGUGUCAACCGUAUUCUGUUGAUAAUUUUAUGAGAACACGUUUGUCUAAAAUGAUUUUUAUUCCCCAUAAGAACGCACGGGCAGUUCUUAAAGCUGAAAAACUGCAGCUUUCAUGUAGCAUCUUAUGUGUCUCACUUCUCUCGAAUAUGCUGAAUAGGUUGGUGCAUCUCACCACCCACAAGCACACACAAAGGAUGCAUCUGCACUGAAGUGAAUAAAGAAUAUCAACUUAUUUCAUUGCUUUUGUCCGCAAUAAAUGCUAUUUAUUCUACUACUAAUAUACAUGUGGUCUUCUAGAUGUGUUUGCUUUCUACAAUUGUGUGCACGGUUUGUAAUUAUUAAAUUCAAGAUUUCUUCUUUUCAAAGUGAUAGAGCAUAUACCUUUUUCAACCGGGCGAGAGGGAGCGAGAGAGAGAUCGUCACGUACAUAUUGUGUCCCACUCCAAUUUUGCUCACCAAUGUGUUCCUCCACGCUGCAGCAGCCGACUCCGUCGAUGUCGUGCUUGUUUACCAGCCAUGCAUUCCAGACAAGUUGAAUGCCGGUGGCAACAGGCAUUCAACGGCACCCUCGUCGGCGCUCUACUCACAGGACCCCGCCUCCCAUGCUGGACCUCCUUGCCGCCCGCACAACGCUAUUACUCCACGCACGCAUGGCCAAACUUCCUCAUAGGGGUGCAUAGGUGUGUCGUUCCUGCAGACCUAUUUUUUGGUGCUACGUCGACAUGCUAGGCCACGCUUCAUCUUCGACUGGCUCAACCUCCACGGCACGGCGUAGCCACGCAGGCUACAGUCCGCCCAAGCGCCAGGAUGUGCAAGGAGUUCUGGGGCGUGUGUACGCCGACUAAUGUGACUUUCUGCUUUACUCAGCGAGCAAUCCUAGGGAUUUCUUUUUUUUUUGAAUUCAUUAUACAUUCUGUUUUUUAUUUAAUUUUAGGGCCUCAUGUGGAUAUAUCUGUUGCAGAUUGGUGAAGAUAAAGCUGCCGAUGUGGUGCUCACUGCUCACCUCGGAUGCAAUUCAAAAUUAUGUUGAUUUAUGUUCCUCUGUGUUACAGUUUAUUCUGGUUUUUAGAAAUACUAAUAUUUUUUCAGCAAGGACAAUGACUAUUCUUAUUUUGACAUAGAGUGUGGUAGAUGAACAUGUCCUCAUUUCAGGUUGAAGGCAUUCCAAAUUCACUUAUAAUAGAAGCUCAAUAAUGCACUUAGUCUACCACCAAAUUCAAAUUAUUGAAAGAUCAAUCCAACAUUAAUUUGCCUCAGAUACAGUCUGGUGCAUUUUCCUUAACAUGACACUCUUUUUAGAGUGAUAACCUUCAUUUCAGGUUGACGGCAUUCCAAAGAAACUUCAAGAUUGCAAGAUAAUGAAAGCGUAAUUACAUUUUUUUUUUGCAAUGGCAAGGUGAAAUUGUAUAAAAGAGACAAAGAAGAGUUGCUUCAUGUCCUUAAUCAUCGGUGUGCACCAACGCAGAAAAGUGGUGAUAACUUUCUCAUGAACUUUUAAUUUUCCCCUCCACUCACAAAUUGAUGGCUUUAUCUAAUUGUAAGAUAGGCACAUUGCAAGGUGUAUUUAGACAUCAUUAGUGAUAAAUGUAAAAAAUAUUUAUCCCUUGUAUUCGUGUUUUCAGCAUGAUCCUUCCAAGUACAUGUUUUAUGUUUCUAUUUGUAGCACUGUCAUAUGUUAGACCUAAUGCCUUGCUAAAUGUCCUAUGCAGGCCAUAAAAGAGAGGGGGGAGAGGGAGGGAGGGAGAGAGAGGGAGAGGGAGAGAGAGAGAGAGAGAGAGNNNNNNNNNNNNNNNNNNNNNNNNNNNNNNNNNNNNNNNNNNNNNNNNNNNNNNNNNNNNNNNNNNNNNNNNNNNNNNNNNNNNNNNNNNNNNNNNNNNNNNNNNNNNNNNNNNNNNNNNNNNNNNNNNNNNNNNNNNNNNNNNNNNNNNNNNNNNNNNNNNNNNNNNNNNNNNNNNNNNNNNNNNNNNNNNNNNNNNNNNNNNNNNNNNNNNNNNNNNNNNNNNNNNNNNNNNNNNNNNNNNNNNNNNNNNNNNNNNNNNNNNNNNNNNNNNNNNNNNUAUAUUUGUUUACUUCUUCUACCCACAAGUUUCAUGUACUGGACAACAUAUUACACAUAUCUUGUGUUAUGAAAGAUAAUAGCUGGUGAUUGAUAUGGCAAGUGUCUACGAGCUGCCUAAUAUAGCAUGCAUUUAACAGUUCUUUCGCAUUCAUAUCUCUGCCUUUUCAUAAUUCCAUGGAUUUUUACUAUAUUGUGUAUCCCAGUGACUUUGCCAACUUGCUGACAUGGGGUCUCGUUCAGAGCACAAGCUUCACCUGAAUAACCUUCUUUCAGUUAGUAAAACACUCAGCAAAGGUAAUUGGGCCUCCCUUAAUUUAUCUACCAUCUUGCUUGGUUUGCACUGCUUCCUGUGUCUUAGAUUCAACCUCUCCAAAAAUGGGUGAAGUGUCAACCGUAUUCUGUUGAUAAUUUUAUGACAACACGUUUGUCUAAAAUGUUUUUUAUUCCCCAUAAGAAUGCACGGGCAGUUCUUAAAGCUGAAAAACUACAGCUUUCAUGUAGCAUCUUAUGUGUCUCACUUCUCUCGAAUAUGCUGAAUAGGUUGGUGCAUCUCACCACCCACAAGCACACACAAAGGAUGCAUCUGCACUGAAGUGAAUAAAGAAUAUCAACUUAUUUCAUUGCUUUUGUCGGCAAUAAAUGCUAUUUAUUCUACUACUAAUAUACAUGUGGUCUUCUAGAUGUGUUUGCUUUCUACAAUUGUGUGCACGGUUUGUAAUUAUUAAAUUCAAGAUUUCUUCUUUUCAAAGUGAUAGAGCAUAUACCUUUUUCAACCGGGCGAGACGGAGCGAGAGAGAGAUCGUCACGUACAUAUUGUGUCCCACUCCGAUUUUGCUCACCAAUGUGUUCCUCCAUGCUGCAGCAGCCGACUCCGUCGAUGUCGUGCUCGUUUACCAGCCAUGCAUUCCAGACAAGUUGAAUGCCGGUGGCAACAGGCAUUCAACGGCACCCUCGUCGGCGCUCUACUCACAGGACCCCGCCUCCCACGCUGGACCUCCUUGCCGCCCGCACAACGCUAUUACUCCACGCACGCAUGGCCAAACUUCCUCAUAGGGGUGCGUAGGUGUGUCGUUCCUGCAGACCUAUUUUUUGGUGCUACGUCGACAUGCUAGGCCACGCUUCAUCUUCGACUGGCUCAACCUCCACGGCACGGUGUAGCCGCGCAGGCUACAGUCCGCCCAAGCGCCGGGAUGUGCAAGGCGUUCUGGGGCGUGUGUACGCCGACUAAUGUGACUUUCUGCUUUACUCAGCGAGCAAUCCUAGGGAUUUCUUUUUUUUUGGAAUUCAUUAUACAUUCUGUUUUUUAUUUAAUUUUAGGGCCUCAUGUGGAUAUAUCUGUUGCAGAUUGGUGAAGAUAAAGCUGCCGAUGUGGUGCUCACUGCUCACCUCGGAUGCAAUUCAAAAUUAUGUUGAUUUAUGUUCCUCUGUGUUACAGUUUAUUCUGGUUUUAGAAAUACUAAUAUUUUUUCAGUAAGGACAGUGACUAUUCUUAUUUUGACAUAGAGUGUGCUAGAUGAACGUGUCUUCAUUUCAGGUUGAAGGCAUUCCAAGUUCACUUAUAAUAGAAGCUCAAUAAUGCACUUAGUCUACCACCAAAUUCAAAUUAUUGAAAGAUCAAUCCAACAUUAAUUUGCCUCAGAUACAGUCUGGUGCAUUUUCCUUAACAUGACACUCUUUUUAGAGUGAUAACCUUCAUUUCAGGUUGACGGCAUUCCAAAGAAACUUCAAGAUUGCAAGAUAAUGAAAGCGUAAUUAUAUUUUUUUUGCAGUGGCAAGGUGAAAUUGUAUAAAAGAGACAAAGAAGAGUUGCUUCAUGUCCUUAAUCAUCGGUGUGCACCAACGCAGAAAAGUGGUGAUAACUUUCUCAUGAACUUUUAAUUUUCCCCUCCACUCACAAAUUGAUGGCUUUAUAUAAUUGUAAGACAGGCACAUUGCAAGGUGUAUUCAGACAUCAUUACUGAUAAAUGUAAAAAAUAUUUAUCCCUUGUAUUCGUGUUCUGAGCAUGAUCCUUCCAAGUACAUGUUUUAUGUUUCUAUUCGUAGCACUGUCAUAUGUUAGACCUAAUGCCUUGCUAAAUGUCCUAUGCAGGCCAUAAAAGAGAGGGCGGAGAGGGAGGGAGGGAGAGAGAGAGAGGGAGAGAGAGAGAGAGAGAGGGAAGGGGAGGGGGAGGGGGAGAGAGCAAAUCAUUUAUAAAGAAACAAAAAAAUUGGUCUGCUAUCAGAUGGUACAUUUAUUUCAACACAAAAUGCAAGAAAGCUUCAGGGUCUCAUGAAGAGGGCAUGCUUUUGAAUUAAUUCCGACUGAUCUGAAAUUCACUUAAAUUUUGUUGUUGAUUGAUCUGCAGUUAUUUUUUAUUUGUAGAGAAGUUCCGCAUUUGAGAAGCCGGAGAAGAGUAUCUCACUAAGUACAGAUUCGAGGUAGGGAUAUCAUUUUCUCUCCAAUCCAUUUAUCAUGGGAUCAUUUCCCAGAAAAAGACAAACAUGAAGGUAGCUGUGGACAUACUAUAUUUGUUUACUUCUUCUACCCACAAGUUUCAUGUACUGGACAACAUAUUACACAUAUCUUGUGUUAUGAAAGAUAAUAGCUGGUGAUUGAUAUGGCAAGUGUCUACGAGCUGCCUAAUAUAGCAUGCAUUUAACAGUUCUUUCGCAUUCAUAUCUCUGCCUUUUCAUAAUUCCAUGGAUUUUUACUAUAUUGUGUAUCCCAGUGACUUUGCCAACUUGCUGACAUGGGGUAUCGUUCAGAGCACAAGCUUCACCUGAAUAACCUUCUUUCAGUUAGUAAAACACUCAGCAAAGGUAAUUGGGCCUCCCUUAAUUUAUCUACCAUCUUGCUUGGUUUGCACUGCUUCCUGUGUUUUAGAUUCAACCUCUCCAAAAAUGGGUGAAGUGUCAACCGUAUUCUGUUGAUAAUUUUAUGAGAACACGUUUGUCUAAAAUGAUUUUUAUUCCCCAUAAGAACGCACGGGCAGUUCUUAAAGCUGAAAAACUGCAGCUUUCAUGUAGCAUCUUAUGUGUCUCACUUCUCUCGAAUAUGCUGAAUAGGUUGGUGCAUCUCACCACCCACAAGCACACACAAAGGAUGCAUCUGCACUGAAGUGAAUAAAGAAUAUCAACUUAUUUCAUUGCUUUUCUCCGCAAUAAAUGCUAUUUAUUCUACUACUAAUAUACAUGUGGUCUUCUAGAUGUGUUUGCUUUCUACAAUUGUGUGCACGGUUUGUAAUUAUUAAAUUCAAGAUUUCUUCUUUUCAAAGUGAUAGAGCAUAUACCUUUUUCAACCGGGCGAGAGGGAGCGAGAGAGAGAUCGUCACGUACAUAUUGUGUCCCACUCCAAUUUUGCUCACCAAUGUGUUCCUCCACGCUGCAGCAGCCGACUCCGUCGAUGUCGUGCUUGUUUACCAGCCAUGCAUUCCAGACAAGUUGAAUGCCGGUGGCAACAGGCAUUCAACGGCACCCUCGUCGGCGCUCUACUCACAGGACCCCGCCUCCCAUGCUGGACCUCCUUGCUGCCCGCACAACGCUAUUACUCCACGCACGCAUGGCCAAACUUCCUCAUAGGGGUGCGUAGGUGUGUCGUUCCUGCAGACCUAUUUUUUGGUGAUACGUCGACAUGCUAGGCCACGCUUCAUCUUCGACUGGCUCAACCUCCACGGCACGGCGUAGCCACGCAGGCUACAGUCCGCCCAAGCGCCAGGAUGUGCAAGGAGUUCUGGGGCGUGUGUACGCCGACUAAUGUGACUUUCUGCUUUACUCAGCGAGCAAUCCUAGGGAUUUCUUUUUUUUUUGGAAUUCAUUAUACAUUCUGUUUUUUAUUUAAUUUUAGGGCCUCAUGUGGAUAUAUCUGUUGCAGAUUGGUGAAGAUAAAGCUGCCGAUGUGGUGCUCACUGCUCACCUCGGAUGCAAUUCAAAAUUAUGUUGAUUUAUGUUCCUCUGUGUUACAGUUUAUUCUGGUUUUUAGAAAUACUAAUAUUUUUUCAGCAAGGACAAUGACUAUUCUUAUUUUGACAUAGAGUGUGGUAGAUGAACAUGUCCUCAUUUCAGGUUGAAGGCAUUCCAAAUUCACUUAUAAUAGAAGCUCAAUAAUGCACUUAGUCUACCACCAAAUUCAAAUUAUUGAAAGAUCAAUCCAACAUUAAUUUGCCUCAGAUACAGUCUGGUGCAUUUUCCUUAACAUGACACUCUUUUUAGAGUGAUAACCUUCAUUUCAGGUUGACGGCAUUCCAAAGAAACUUCAAUAUUGCAAGAUAAUGAAAGCGUAAUUACAUUUUUUUUUUGCAAUGGCAAGGUGAAAUUGUAUAAAAGAGACAAAGAAGAGUUGCUUCAUGUCCUUAAUCAUCGGUGUGCACCAACGCAGAAAAGUGGUGAUAACUUUCUCAUGAACUUUUAAUUUUCCCCUCCACUCACAAAUUGAUGGCUUUAUCUAAUUGUAAGAUAGGCACAUUGCAAGGUGUAUUUAGACAUCAUUAGUGAUAAAUGUAAAAAAUAUUUAUCCCUUGUAUUCGUGUUUUCAGCAUGAUCCUUCCAAGUACAUGUUUUAUGUUUCUAUUUGUAGCACUGUCAUAUGUUAGACCUAAUGCCUUGCUAAAUGUCCUAUGCAGGCCAUAAAAGAGAGGGGGGAGAGGGAGGGAGGGAGAGAGAGGGAGAGGGAGAGAGAGAGAGAGAGAGAGAGAGAGAGAGAGAGAGGGAGGGGGAGGGAGGGAGGGACUAUGAGCAGAGAGCAAAUCAUUUAUAAAGAAACAAAAAAAUUGGUCUGCUAUCAGAUGGUACAUUUAUUUCAACACAAAAUGCAAGAAAGCUUCACGGUCUCUUGAAGAGGGCAUGCUUUUGAAUUAAUUGCGACUGAUCUGAAAUUCACUUAAAUUUUGUUGUUGAUUGAUCUGCAGUUAUUUUUUAUUUGUAGAGAAGUUCCGCAUUUGAGAAGCCGGAGAAGAGUAUCUCACUAAGUACAGAUUCGAGGUAGGGAUAUCAUUUUCUCUCCAAUCCAUUUAUCAUGGGAUCAUUUCCCAGAAAAAGACAAACAUGAAGGUAGCUGUGGACAGACUAUAUUUGUUUACUUCUUCUACCCACAAGUUUCAUGUACUGGACAACAUAUUACACAUAUCUUGUGUUAUGAAAGAUAAUAGCUGGUGAUUGAUAUGGCAAGUGUCUAUGAGCUGCCUAAUAUAGCAUGCAUUUAACAGUUCUUUCGCAUUCAUAUCUCUGCCUUUCAUAAUUCCAUGGAUUUUUACUAUAUUGUGUAUCCCAGUGACUUUGCCAACUUGCUGACAUGGGGUCUCGUUCAGAGCACAAGCUUCACCUGAAUAACCUUCUUUCAGUUAGUAAAACACUCAGCAAAGGUAAUUGGGCCUCCCUUAAUUUAUCUACCAUCUUGCUUGGUUUGCACUGCUUCCUGUGUCUUAGAUUCAACCUCUCCAAAAAUGGGUGAAGUGUCAACCGUAUUCUGUUGAUAAUUUUAUGAGAACACGUUUGUCUAAAAUGUUUUUUAUUCCCCAUAAGAACGCACGGGCAGUUCUUAAAGCUGAAAAACUACAGCUUUCAUGUAGCAUCUUAUGUGUCUCACUUCUCUCGAAUAUGCUGAAUAGGUUGGUGCAUCUCACCACCCACAAGCACACACAAAGGAUGCAUCUGCACUGAAGUGAAUAAAGAAUAUCAACUUAUUUCAUUGCUUUUGUCCGCAAUAAAUGCUAUUUAUUCUACUACUAAUAUACAUGUGGUCUUCUAGAUGUGUUUGCUUUCUACAAUUGUGUGCACGGUUUGUAAUUAUUAAAUUCAAGAUUUCUUCUUUUCAAAGUGAUAGAGCAUAUACCUUUUUCAACCGGGCGAGACGGAGCGAGAGAGAGACCGUCACGUACAUAUUGUGUCCCACUCCGAUUUUGCUCACCAAUGUGUUCCUCCACGCUGCAGCAGCCGACUCCGUCGAUGUCGUGCUCGUUUACCAGCCAUGCAUUCCAGACAAGUUGAAUGCCGGUGGCAACAGGCAUUCAACGGCACCCUCGUCGGCGCUCUACUCACAGGACCCCGCCUCCCACGCUGGACCUCCUUGCCGCCCGCACAACGCUAUUACUCCACGCACGCAUGGCCAAACUUCCUCAUAGGGGUGCGUAGGUGUGUCGUUCCUGCAGACCUAUUUUUUGGUGCUACGUCGAUAUGCUAGGCCACGCUUCAUCUUCGACUGGCUCAACCUCCACGGCACGGUGUAGCCGCGCAGGCUACAGUCCGCCCAAGCGCCGGGAUGUGCAAGGCGUUCUGGGGCGUGUGUACGCCGACUAAUGUGACUUUCUGCUUUACUCAGCGAGCAAUCCUAGGGAUUUCUUUUUUUUGGAAUUCAUUAUACAUUCUGUUUUUUAUUUAAUUUUAGGGCCUCAUGUGGAUAUAUCUGUUGCAGAUUGGUGAAGAUAAAGCUGCCGAUGUGGUGCUCACUGCUCACCUCGGAUGCAAUUCAAAAUUAUGUUGAUUUAUGUUCCUCUGUGUUACAGUUUAUUCUGGUUUUUACAAAUACUAAUAUUUUAUCAGUAAGGACAGUGACUAUUCUUAUUUUGACAUAGAGUGUGGUAGAUGAACAUGUCUUCAUUUCAGGUUGAAGGCAUUCCAAAUUCACUUAUAAUAGAAGCUCAAUAAUGCACUUAGUCUACCACCAAAUUCAAAUUAUUGAAAGAUCAAUCCAACAUUAAUUUGCCUCAGAUACAGUCUGGUGCAUUUUCCUUAACAUGACACUCUUUUUAGAGUGAUAACCUUCAUUUCAGGUUGACGGCAUUCCAAAGAAACUUCAAGAUUGCAAGAUAAUGAAAGUGUAAUUACAUUUUUUUUGAAGUGGCAAGGUGAAAUUGUAUAAAAGAAACAAAGAAGAGUUGCUUCAUGUCCUUAAUCAUCGGUGUGCACCAACGCAGAAAAGUGGUGAUAACUUUCUCAUGAACUUUUAAUUUUCCCCUCCACUCACAAAUUGAUGGCUUUAUCUAAUUGUAAGAUAGGCACAUUGCAAGGUGUAUUUAGACAUCAUUAGUAAUAAAUGUAAAAAAUAUUUAUCCCUUGUAUUCGUGUUCUGAGCAUGAUCCUUCCAAGUACAUGUUUUAUGUUUCUAUUUGUAGCACUGUCAUAUGUUAGACCUAAUGCCUUGCUAAAUGUCCUAUGCAGGCCAUAAAAGAGAGGGNNNNNNNNNNNNNNNNNNNNNNNNNNNNNNNNNNNNNNNNNNNNNNNNNNNNNNNNNNNNNNNNNNNNNNNNNNNNNNNNNNNNNNNNNNNNNNNNNNNNNNNNNNNNNNNNNNNNNNNNNNNNNNNNNNNNNNNNNNNNNNNNNNNNNNNNNNNNNNNNNNNNNNNNNNNNNNNNNNNNNNNNNNNNNNNNNNNNNNNNNNNNNNNNNNNNNNNNNNNNNNNNNNNNNNNNNNNNNNNNNNNNNNNNNNNNNNNNNNNNNNNNNNNNNNNNNNNNNNNNNNNNNNNNNNNNNNNNNNNNNNNNNNNNNNNNNNNNNNNNNNNNNNNNNNNNNNNNNNNNNNNNNNNNNNNNNNNNNNNNNNNNNNNNNNNNNNNNNNNNNNNNNNNNNNNNNNNNNNNNNNNNNNNNNNNNNNNNNNNNNNNNNNNNNNNNNNNNNNNNNNNNNNNNNNNNNNNNNNNNNNNNNNNNNNNNNNNNNNNNNNNNNNNNNNNNNNNNNNNNNNNNNNNNNNNNNNNNNNNNNNNNNNNNNNNNNNNNNNNNNNNNNNNNNNNNNNNNNNNNNNNNNNNNNNNNNNNNNNNNNNNNNNNNNNNNNNNNNNNNNNNNNNNNNNNNNNNNNNNNNNNNNNNNNNNNNNNNNNNNNNNNNNNNNNNNNNNNNNNNNNNNNNNNNNNNNNNNNNNNNNNNNNNNNNNNNNNNNNNNNNNNNNNNNNNNNNNNNNNNNNNNNNNNNNNNNNNNNNNNNNNNNNNNNNNNNNNNNNNNNNNNNNNNNNNNNNNNNNNNNNNNNNNNNNNNNNNNNNNNNNNNNNNNGGAGGGAGAGAGGGAGAGAGGGAGAGGGAGAGAGAGAGAGAGGGAGAUAACUGUAACUAAGACCAGAUCAUGAUGCAAUGAAACUUUGUGCGCAGAUGUAUGUACACAUGGUUUGAUCGGUCGAAAAAAUAGCUGCUUAUUUCCUUCAGUUUGUUGGUGGUGAUUGGGUGCGGCGGUGCUCUUCUCCAGCGAUCAACGUAUAUUCAUGCAUGCAAAUCGCAGCGGUUAGUACCCACCUAUGCAUACAUCCUCGCGUGAAGAUGCUAAUGGUUGUAAUUAACAAGGCAGUUUUCAGAUGUUUUUUCUUCAGGAACUUGAAAAGAAUAGGUCUAAAUCCAUGCAAAAAGAAGAGAAUAGGUCUAAAUGAUUAAGCAUCACUUCUGCCAUUAGUUGCAAAACUUGUUUUGUGGGUCAAUGGGUAGGAAAGAAAGAUUCGACAGUUGCUUAAGAGUAACUAUGUCAAAUGCCAACAUAAGUAACGAUUUUAUUUCUGAGUUAGGUACGAAAGAAUGUGAUAGAGAAAAAAGAUUUUGCUUUAUCUAAAGAAUGUGAUAGAUAUAAAGGAGUUUGCUUUAUCUCUUAUCCCGCCUAUGACGUGAAUAUGUUUAGCUCAUAUGUGUAUGUCAUUAACUGAUUAGCAGUUUAGCACAAGACCAUUUUUCUGCUUCUUUGGUUGAGUAUCCUCUCUUCAAAUUUUUUGAUUGAUGCACCAAACAGUAAUUUGUAGUUUGUUACUCUAGAGGUUAAGAAAAUAUACUUCGGGCUUGGGGAUUUUUUUUGAGUAAAAACUAAUCAUGGUUAAUGUUUCAGAUGUAAGAUGUUGUCUGCACCCCGUGUAAUUUUCGUCAGUUUCUUUUCUCAGUGUGGAGACUAUGCCAGUGGAGAGACCAACGACGAUUACCUUGAGAUAGUGGGAUGUGCAUGGAAGGAGCGACUAACUAUGUAGAGGAAAGCUGCGCUCGCCGGCACUGGUCAGGUAUGUUGCUUUCCUGUGCUCGUUUCACCGCCAUGCUAUGCUUCUUUACCUUUCUGGCUAUUGCGGUGCAAAUCUUUGGAAGUUUCCCCAAAUUCUCACAUUUUGGAGCUGUUGUUCUAUUGAAAUUGAACAAACGAAAUUGUAGAUGGUUAGCAGGGCUUUGGUCCUUAUUUUCUUAUUUUCUUACAUACCAUUUGUCUAGGCCAAAGGUGUGAUUCUUCAGGGUUAAUACUUCUAUAUAUUGUUAGCUCUUGAUUCUGUUUUUCUGGGACAUUUAUAACAAUUUAGCUUCAAAUUUACUUGUAUUUUUUCUGGGGCAUUUUGAAGUGCGUGCGCAAGCUUCAAGUAUGUACAGUGCACACACUUUUGUUUGACAAAUUAUAACCCCAAUCAAGGUCCAAAUCGAAGCAUAUAUGACAUCACAAAUGGAUCUAAACAAAUGACGUCACAAAUGUCCUCCAAGGAAUGGUCAUAUAGAAAAGAAACUUAAAACAGACUUCGUUGGAAGUAUGUUGUUUUCCUUUCUUGAACUUGUAUUCCGUCAUUUAUUAAUAUUUAUUUACCAUGUCCAGUACCAGUAACGUACUAUGAGCUAAUUUUACAUAACAUUACAGGGGCCUAAAUGAUUGAGGAGUGAAAUUAGAUCAUGGCCUUUCAUGUUUGAAGGUAUUGUUCAUGUAAAUUUGUUAUUCCUACUGAAAUUGACAUACUAAUCCUAUACGCACCUGAAUAUUCUUGCAGGGAUAUAGUAUUACGAUAACUCUCAAAAAUCAAUAUUGUAUAAUGACAGAAGUUAAUAAUCUAAAUCAGCAGGAGCAAGCUUUGGAUGAGUGUAUAUACUAGGUUGGUAGCUGUUGCAAACAAUAAUCUUCAAAUUCUUGAAUGCUCUACAAAACAUACAAUCUGCUUUAUUGCUGAACCAAAUAAAAGCAUGAUAUAACUUGUAAUCUUGUUUUUCUUGCAGCGAGAUGUGCGGAAAGCUAAGCGGGUUAAUGGAAGAUGAGAAUGGUCGAAGGUAAUCAGAAUUCUCCAGUUAGUUAUAAGAUGCUCUUUGGGUGUGGUGUCUUUCAUAUAAAUAAAAAAGUUGGAAGAUUAUUGAACAACUAAAAGUCAUUUUGUCCUUUUCCAAAAAAAGUCAUUUUGUCUAUUUGAUGGUUAUAUCUCUGACAGGAGACCCCAUCUUGUCCUUAGUACCCAAUUUGUCAAUAUGUGUGCUUUAUGAUAAUUUUUUUGUUUGUUAGUAUUAGAAAGAGUGUCACAUAGCUAGGAUACUUGUGGAGCCAUUGGUUGGUACAUACGAUUUGAGGAUUACCAGAUAACAGUCUUAAUUGUCAAAAAGUUUUUUACAUUAACAUUUAAUGUUCUUGAUGUAUUAUCAGAAAUGAGCAAUGUCUAAUCAUUGGGUGACAACUAAUGCACUAGCUUUGUUUUAGUUUUGUGUAACAAUGGUCUCAGCUUAGGGAGUCGGAUAUUAACAUAUAAAGCAUAACAUGAUCACACCGCAAUUUGCAAAAUAUUCACUCUGUAAGGAAGUGAAAUACCUUCUCAUUAUAUGUGAUGUUCUCCAGUCCUAAGUAUGUGUUUUGUCUGAGCUGAAGUUUAUUCCUUUACACUCAAUUGCCCGUAUUUAUUGGUUAUUAUUUUCUCGAUUCACCAACGGUGACAGCAGAGUUGCGGUGACGGUGUCAACCAUGAUGUUAUAGGGAGAUGCACUACUGGAUGCCAUUCUAUUUGCUCCAUGUGCAAUUUGGUAAAAUUGAUUCAUGUUUUAAAUUCAAAAGUUAUGUUCUUUCAGGUUGUAAACUGCAUCCUAUAGUUAUUCAUGCAUUUUUGUCGACGUGAUGACACGUAUAAAACACAUUGUCAAUGUUUAGAUGAUGGUGGUAUAAGAAGAAAAUAAACUGCUAUUUUUUAUCCUCGACAAGAUAUUUUGGGUCCUUUUUCUGUGCUAGCAUCUUUUCUUUUGGAAUGGGAUAGUUAAUGGUGCUCUUAUAAAAAAAAUUGUUGUCUCCCUUCAUUCCGAAAUAUAAGCCCUUUUAGAGAUUUCAAUAGGACUACAUACGGAUGUAUAAGCUUCAUAUGUAGUCCAUAUUGGAAUCUCUAGAAAGGCUUAUAUUUAGGAACGGAGGGAGUACAAGAAAAACAACUGCGGCCACCUUUUUUUAGUUACUCUAUUCCAAGGUUGGUACUACUCCCUCUGUUCACUUUUAUAAGUCCUUGAAGACAUUUCAGACAACAUGCAAAUCAAUUCAUUUUCAGCUGUCUGAAACGACUUAUAAAAGUGAACGGAGGGAGUAGAAGAUUUCAGAAGGAAAAUGAAUGCAAAACAAACUAUGGAGAAAGUAAUAUGUGCAAUAUACCAAACUGGAGGAAGAAAUACAAAUCAAGAUAAGAACAUUACAUCAGUGGUGGUUUGAAAGAGGCAAAAGCAGGGAGGAAGGUAAAAUAAGAAAUGUAGAAGAGCUCUCUUAUAUUCCCUACAAGCAAGUUGAUUAGUGCUCUUGUAUUUUCAAGAAGGAGAACAGAAUUACUGGAAAAAAUGAAAUGGAAAUGACCUGGAGGAGGAACUUUGAAGGUAAACUGUGAUGGGCUUUCUUUUCUGGAAAUAGUAAUGGUGGCUGGGGAUCUGUCAUUAGAGACGAUGAAAGAGAUGAUAUCGUAUGUACGAUGGGUAAAACUCUGAAUAUACUACGUUACUUGCAUGUUGAGAUUGUGGCGGCUCACGAAUGAGCACAAUUAGUUGUGACUGCUAAGUAAAGUUGAGGUAUAAGCAAUAUUAGUUUUGAGACUAGCGGGUGUGGAACAUGAAGGGAAAGAUCUCUCUUGAGGUCUGCAUUACUAUGCUGGAUCUGAAGGAGUUUCUCUACUAAAACUUCUACAGUUUUAAAACUUGUGUACUCCAGUAGAGAUUGUAAUAAAGUAGCACAUUCCCUAACCGCCCUGGGUUGUAGUUUAAAUAUAGAAGCAAGCAUUGUAAUGGACCAUGAUGUAUCUGUUGUAAUUGAACAAGUGUCAUGCCACUUAGUUAGGACGUAUAUGUAAUGCAACUGUCUGCAAUUUUUUUUCUUGUGUUUAACUUGUACGCCGAGGUCCAGUUUAGAGUUUAUGAGGUAUUGCACAUGCAUUCCCACUAUUGUGUGCCGAAUAAAUGUGCAUGACACACAAUCUAAGAACAGAGGAAAAGGAACAGAAUAAAUGUUAGCACUAGCACUAUGCGCCUAUUCGAGGAGACGGAAAGCAUCACAAGGUUAGAGAGAGAGAGAGAGAGAGAGCAACACAAGGUGUGUGAGAGAGAGAGGCCCUCUCUAAUCAUACUUCUGUUGCUUCCUAGUGAAUAUGAAUUACAUUGUGUUUUCAUGGAAGUCUUUUCUUUCCCCUCUCUAAUCAUACUACCGCUCUUAUCUUUGCCUCUCUCUAUAUGAAGCUAGAAAUAUUAUGACAACGCACGGGCAUUCGGCUUCGGCCCGUAGCAACGCACGGGCAUUCUACUAGUCUUGAUAGUAUGUUGGAAAUGCAAGUACCUAGCCCAUGCGGCCGCACGGGUUGACGACUAGUUAAUUAGUAAUCGCGAUGCGCAUGCGGACGCCCAGGGUUUUGGCAUCGUGUGCCACCAUGUCCCAAAAAUUCAUGUCCCCUUGCACAAUUCCUAUGCUCAGCCAAUUGCAUAUUGUAUCGAUAAUACCCUUUUGUUCGUUUGAGGUGAACACCCAAUCAGCACCUUCUCCAACCUCAACACCUUUGAAGAAGAACUAACAAAACCAGUCCCAAGUCUUCCCCUGCAACUCGGUACAUUUGGGGCAACUGGUUACAUUUGUCUCACUACUAAAACCUUAUACACAAAAACUUACCAGUAGUGCAGGCUAAAAAGAAGCGCUACUACAAUUUAGCACUAGCGCAUGUAAACUAAACGCGUUGCAGCUAAGUUUGUAGCAGUAGCGCGUCUCACGGAAGAAGUGCUACUACUACAAUUCUCUUGCUGUUCUCGCCAGGCUACCAAUAGUAGUAGCAUGCUUAAGAAAAGCGCGCUGCUGCUAAGAUUGUUGUAGCAGUGUGUUUUACGCAGAAAGCGCUACUGCUAAGGAAAGGAAAAUAAAAUGAAAAACAUAUAGAAAAUGAAACAAAUAGAAAAAGAGGAAGGAAAAAAGGAAAAUGUGAAUGAAAAUAAAUAAAAAAGAAAAAUAAAGGAGAAAGGCAUAGCAGCAGCGGGCUUUCUGGACAGGCACUAUAGCUAACUUAGCAGUAGCGCUUGUUUCCAUCCAGCGCUAUAGCUAAUUUAGCUAUAGCUAAUGUAGCAGUAGCACUUUUCCUAAAACGCGCUACUGCUACUUUUGACUUAACCCCGCGCGGUUCUUCUUCCCCACGGCCACUUCCCCCAAAUCCAACUCGCGCGUCUGCUGUCGCCGGCGUCGUCGCCCAGCCGCCGCGUGCUCUCCCUUCGCCCUCCGCAUGCCCUCGAUGCCGCCCCCGACCCCGAUCUCGACGCCGCCCCCGACCCCGACCUCGAUACCCCCCUACAUCGCCGCCCCGCGCCGCGCGCCUGAGCCCGACCCCGACCUCGACGCCGCGUGCCCCUCCCUCGGCCGCUCCAUAACUCCGUCGGCGCCCGAGUUGAGCACGCCCUCCUCCUCCUCCUCUCGUACCUCUGCCUAGCUAGGGUUCCUAGGGUUAAAUUUUAGAGUCCAACUAAUUAGUUAGGGUUCAUCAAAUUAGAUGCUAAUUAGGGUAGUAGUUGUAGAUGCUUAAUUGUAAACUAGGUGUUAAUUAGGGCAGUAGUUGUAGAUGCUUAAUUAGUUUUUAGGACAAAUUCCUAGGUUUCAUCAAUGGGUGCUUAAGUAGUUGUAGAUGCUUAAGUACCCAGGUAGCGUUCAUCUAAUUAGUUAGUACUUGUAGAUGCUUAAGAACUAGGGCAGUAGGGUUUAACUAGGGCAGUAGUGUUUAGUUUAGAGAAAAAAUCAAUAUAGUUUUUUUUACUAUUUUUUAGUAAGUGUUUAAUAGAAUUAGUAAGAAAAUUAAUAGAACUACUUGAACUAGUUUAUUUUUAGUAAGAACUAGUUGAAUUAAAAUAACUAGUUUAUUUUUAGUAAGAAAAUUAAUAGAACUAGUUUAUUUUAGUAAGAACUAGUUGAAUUAAUAGACCUAUUUUUUAGUAAGAAAAUUAAUAGAACUAGUUAAACUAGUUUACUUUUAGUAAGAACUAGUUUAUUUUUAUUUAUAGUAAGUGCUUAGUUGAACUAGUUGAAUUAAUACAACUAUUUUAGAACUAGUUUACUUUUUUAGUUAAAGCAAUUAUUCCCGCAUCGACGUCGACGAUGCCUAUCCCGCAUCCUCGUCGUCGACUCGGCGGAGGAGGCCUGCUUGAUCAGAGGGGUCAUGUCUGGGACUGGGCUCCGUCGGGCUGGUACUGGGAUGUGCUACCUUUUGGGUGGCGCAGCUUGGUGAGGAGCCAGCCCGUCGUUGACUCGAACCUUCUUUGGUGGCGGUCGCGUGGGCCAGUGACGGUGCGGAGGCUUGAGGACCCCGUGGAGGUGGUACGUCACCGUGCCAGCGAGGAGGACGCGCACGUCCGUUGCUACAUGGUUGCGUUGGAGGACUAGUUCUCCAAUACCUGGCAGGUUCUUCAAGGAUCUCACUUGAGCUAUGAUCAUGUGAUGGUUCCUUCUCUUCGGGUGUCCACCGCCAGGGCCGAUACCCAUCGUUCGUUAGGGUUUUAGCUGUAUUAGUGAGGUUAUAUGUAUGAGACUAUUCGGGAUGUAUUAGUGAUAAUAUUCGACGAUGUACGGAUGCAAGAGAUGGUUUAGUUUUGCUUAUUGAAUGCAUGCUAAUUUGAAUACUAAUUUAUUUUAUGAUUUAGUUUUGCUUAUUGAAUGCUCAAAUUGAAGAAGUACUCCUAUUUUGAAUGCUCAAAUUGGAGAGCACUAUUUUGAAUACAAUUUUGUUUUUGUAGCCAAAUCUCCAUGUCGUAGCCGCUGUCGUCCCCGUCACAUGCCCCCUCCGACCUCGAGGUGAGACUAACUAAAUCUCCAUGUCAAUAUGAGUCCUAUAAGAUAUUUUGAAAUGUUUUUGUUCAUAUUUUCAACCAUUGAAAUGCAAUGACCAUCAAGUUUGAAUGCAAUGACCAUCAAGUUUGAAUGCAAAUAGGAUAUGUGCUUGCCCAAGUGGCCAUGUUUGCAGGUAACACCUCCGAGUGGCCUAUGUUUUGCCGGAGUGUUGAUUAAUUUCCGCUCCGGCAAAUUUCAGGCGCUCGAUAUGUCCUUUUUAAGCAAAGGUCAUGCCGGAUUUUUCCGUGAGUUUUGGCAUGACUUGUGCUAGAAUAUGUACGAAAUAUCGAGUGGCCUGGAUUUUCUAGAAAGAUAAUUAAACGACAUUUCGGGUUGACUUUAAGUCUAUCGAGGCUCCAUACAUGACAAUCAAAAAAUGAAUGAGGGAGAAAGUCUGCAUCAUAUAUGAGAGAGGAAGAAACCCGACUAUUGUCGUGCGGGUCGUUUCUCCUUCUUCUCCUUGUGCUAGACCUUUGUUAGGCACUAGGGGAAGGAGGAGUAACGACCAUCACCGACGGUCGAAAAAUAAGUGAGGGAGUGUGUCCACCAUAUAUGAGAGAAAAAGAAUGCCGACUGUUGUCGUGGGGGUCCCUUCUCCUUCAUUCCCGUGUGAUAGACAUUUUAGUUUAAUGCACUCGGGGACAAAGGGAGGAGCGAUCAUCACCAACGGUCAAAUAUAUACACCACGUGAGCUCAGAGUUUUCAAAAAAAAGACUCGACAGACCGAUAGUCAACCCGUGCUGAAUAAUAAUUUUCUAAUUUAGUUUUUGCAGUAUGUAUAUUGAAUUUUAGAAGUUUAAUCUUUGAAUUAUGAACAUAGGAAAUGUCGUCGGACAAAAGUCUCGCGGAGUGCUCCUGGUGCGGCAACAACUGGGGUUUCUGCGAUAGGCCUCACUUGGUAGAAAGUCGGCGCUUCAGCAUUAAGCUCCGGGAGGCCUUCGAUGUUGAAAUGGUACACUACGACGCAAAGUGUUUUUUUCGUAAUUAAGCUCGACUUCUACUACUUCAACGUGUAAUUUUUGUCUUUUACAAUUCGACUAGCUUAUCUCAUGACAUGCACGACGCUAUGUCUUGAAGAGGAUGGAUUUUGAAGAUCAUGGGAGUAUGGAAACAAAGAAAAUUCACCUAAGGACCCAUCAUGGUAUGGAUUUUGAGGUAAAUCUAUACAAUUCUGAGAGCGUAUCCCAUUUUGGUUGCCCGAAUUGGGAAGCGCUUUGCAAGAUGUAUGAUUUUCAUGAGGAUGUGCUUGUCACCAUGGAUCUUGGUGAUCCUGACAUCGAGGAAGACAAUUUGGACAUUUAGGUCCUUGUUGAUACGCUUCCAAUUUUACCGCUAUGUGAGUUUCUCAAACAUAGUUAUUAAGUAAUUUAUAUUAUUUAUUUCAAAAUAGUUUACAGCUUAUUUCCAUUUAUAGCUUAUUUUCAUUCUUCAAAGAAUGUGUGGAAGAUGGUAGACAGAACCUACUACACCGAUGGCUCAGAAUUAACUUAUCAGGAGAAAAAUCAUCUGAUCGCAUUUAUUACUGAUCUUGAGAAUUACAAUAUGUGUUACCAAACUCCUCCAUAUUAUGGUCAAUACGUGCCACUGGUGCACGUGUUGAAAUAUGCUAACAUCCAUGGAGAUGUCAUGGUAAGAUUUUUUAGUAUUACGACAUAUGUGCAUAUUUUGCAUAAAUUCUUCUAAAAUUGAACUACAUUGCUAACUACGAAGUUAUUACUGUGUUUUUCAACAGAUAAUCCCGCAUGAGUGUGUGCCUCAUCUGAUGUUUCAGAAAAGUCGUCUUGAUGUUUUGAAUAUACGGCCAGGUCAUCCUACGAAUCACUCAUGUUCAUAUCGGAUUUCUAAAACCAAUGAAGACAUGACAAUCAAAGAUUGGAAAAAAUGUAUGGUCACUCGUAGGGAGCUACUUGGAAGCAACCUUAGGCGAAGGGCAGGAUAAUCUCCAUUAUCCAUAAUGAAAAGCCUAUCUUGUUUUAUGCUAUUUUAUCUAAGAGAACAUAGUAGGUCCUAUGAGAGAGAAGUAGGUCCUAGGUACAAUGUAUUAUUAUGUGGUACAAUGUGUUAGAGUUGAUGAUGAUGAGGAGUUGUGAUUAUGACUACUGACCAACUUGCUAUAUGAUGUCUCAUUGAUAAAAAUGAUGAUCAUGAGGAGGUGUUAUAUGACAAUGAUGUAUUAUGAUGAUAAGUCGUUAAUGAUAUGAUGAUGAUGAUGAGUUAUUAUGUCAUUGGGUGAAAGAACCGCGGUUUAGUUUCAAGUGGAUGGAUCCAAAGUGACCAUUGGUCACUUUGGAUCCAUAUGCACUUGAAACUAAUCCACGGUUCUUUCACCCAAUGAUGUAAUAACUCAUUAUUUGUAAAAACAAUCUCUAAAUUGCUACUGUAUGAAAACUUUUAUAAUGGCGUAUGAAUACGACAUAAAACAAAAAAGAAAUACCCAACAAUAGUAUAGUAGCGCGGGUAGGGAGGCGCGCUGCUAGUAACUACCAGUAGCGCUAUGUACCAAAAGCGCUACUGCUAAGCAGGUAUAGCAGUAGCGCGGGCAAGCACAUGCUACUGAUACACUUUAGAUGUAGCGCCGUAUCAGUAGCGCGCCACCCCGUGCUACUGAUAUACCUAAAACCGGCGCUACUGCUAGUCUUUUCCCUAGUAGUGUUUGUUUGCAUCUCCCCACAUGGAAAUCAUAUCUCUACAUUUGUUACAACUUUGAAAAACAACCAUUAACUCUUCGACUUUUCUACAACCUGCCAUGAAACUUCUCUUCAAUGCAGAAAUAAAAAAUAUUUUUGUUGUUUUUGGUGUAUAAGAAAUGCAAUAAAAUAAAAUAUGAUAAAUAAAAGAAACUAAGCAAAGUAAAUAACAAUGAAGCCAGAAAUUGUCUAAGUCAACAGUUUUCCAAAAGGAACAAGGGUACGGGGUCAUGAAAAAAGAGUGAUGCUUAAGAUGACCCCCAGGGUGAAAUCUCCAUAAAGUUGACUAAUGGGAGAUUUCUGGUAAAGGAUGCUUUUUGUUGACUUGUACUAUUGCGUCAAGGGGAUACACGCACAUCAAGUCCACUGAUGAUCUUUACAUAAUUAAGAUGCAUAUAACUAACACCAAUACACAACUAGAGGACGCCGAUAAAGAAUAAAGUCAUACAAAACCGCGACGAUGCUCAAGGAGAGGGGGAAGCGUGGCAAUUUAUAGACUAUGCCGCCUACUAUAACAGAGUAUACACCCCAAAUUUUCGAUCCUGCCAUCUUACCAGCUACCUAAUAGCACUAUUAUUUGGACAACUUAAGUGGAAAUCUUGUAGAAAACAUCAAGGAAGGCAAAUAAGUUCAUACUCCCUUCGUCCCAAAAUAACUGUCUCAACUUUGUACUAGCUCUAGUACAAAGUUGUACUAAGCUUGAAACACUUAUUUUGGAACGGAGGGAGUACUAUAUAUGACUCUUGUCUGCCCCUGAUCCUUAAGUAACAUAGGCACCAUACCUAGUUAAAUCUAGAUGUAUCUCGUUUGCCAUGAUUGAACUCUUUAAGAAGCAUUUAGUGUUCAUCUCAAAGCAAGAGCCAAUAUUUAUGAUAAAACUCAAUACAAAGCAUCUAUACUGGAUGCUUUUAUUGAGUUCCUUAUGAGAUGUAACCAUAGUUACAACUUCCAACAUCUAGAUGAGAGAGGAUGCUCUUAUUAUAUUUUGUUUGGAGGGGUUAUAUAUAACUAAUUAGUUAAGCGAAGGGCCUCUGGUUGUAGCAGUCGAGGUUAUCGCCAUAGCCAACUCUGAGAAUGUCACAGUAGCGCUUGUAAAACCCUAUCCGAUCGGCGACUCGGCUGUCCUGCCCAUGCCCGCACUCAAUCCCGCCAUUGACGAUGUUGGUGAUCACACCAAACCCGGGCACCCGCCCUGCAGCCCGGUCCGUCCCUGAUGGGCUCCACUGGCCUGUGAUCACCGCAUGGCUCGACGGCUUUGGCGCCUGCGCCGUCAUCCAGAACCACAUCGCCGUCUUAAACGACACUGUCGGGUCCGUGGCCACCAGGUCUGGGUUGCGCAGCAGAUCGACCCCAAUGGCCCGGCCUGCCGGCCCGUAGUUGUAGUUGUGGGAGAGCUGGAUCGGCCCACGGCCGUAAUAGCUCUUCCCUGGGGCACACGGCCAUUGCGCGCUCGGAGUGCAGUAGUUGGAGGUGGCGCCACGCUCCUGCUUGAAGCAGUAGCCCCAGGCGAAGGCUCCGUCCGGCGCCGUCGCCCACCCACCGGUGGUCUCGUGGGAGGUCUGAGCCAGGAAGGCGGCCACCUCGCGCUUCCGGGUGUCGGUGCUGCCCGUGGUGCCGAAGCCCGGGAAGGCGCCCGCGGCGGCGACGAAGGCGUCGU
Molecule: long non-coding RNA, 71974 nt
Filed under: Triticum aestivum (bread wheat)
Lineage: Eukaryota; Viridiplantae; Streptophyta; Magnoliopsida; Poales; Poaceae
Description: long non-coding RNA (TAES_LNC017144)
Source: RNAcentral